UUCUUCCACCAAGGUCAUCAUCUACUCUAGCACCAUAACUUGCACUUUCUUGUGCUGCUGUUUCAUGCUCUUUUAAGUAAUCUUGAACCAAUGCUCUCAUUUCUCCCUUGCCAAAAUUGGUUUGAAAAAGAUCCUUCCUAUCUUUUAAUACUAUCUUUCCAUCUUUCCAACAAAUAAUUCCUUGCCGUAUCAUAUUAUUAAAUUCAUUGCAAUCUUUUCUAGUGUGUGAUGCGUCAUUACACCAAAUGCAUCUUUGUACGUAUCCUUAUUUUGAAACAUUCUUCGAAUUAUUUGUAGAAGUAUUCUCUUCAAGUCUUGUCAAUUUGAUUUAAAGAUCUCGCAUUCCUUCUAUAAUUUCUUCCAUCCCUAUAUAUGCUUUCUUUGAUAAGGAUGUCGAAGGUUGAACUAUAGGCAUUGUUGGUGGUAUUGUACGUACUGGAGCUUUGGGUGCUUGUACUGUUUUCGGAAUAUUGCUCCUAUCCUUCUUCCUUUCUUUUUUUUGUAAGCAACUCCAUCGCAUCUUCAACAUUCUUCCACUUUGUUGUCAAUCCUUCAUCUUCUUCUUUGUCUUCAAGAAGGAGUUCUAAUUUCCCUUGCAAUUCUCCAUCAGCAGCUUGAAAAAAUAGAUCAACUUUGUUCGGCUCCAAUGUCAAUUUUUCUACCUUCGACAAUUGAGAGUACUGCCUCUCAAAUUCUCUUAGUAGCUCUGUUGCUUGCAAAUUCUUAUUAGGCCGUUCAAUCCAUUCCAAAAACAACUUCUUAGUAACGUGAUCAGCAUCUUCUAAGAAAUAUUCGUCUUUCAAUGCAUGUGAAAAAACCUCCCAUGAAUUCCCAUAAUGAUCCAUAAUCGAUGUAAUAUGGUCUCUUAUCUCCGACAUCGUAGCAAGUCCAAAUAAUUCAACCAUUUUCUUCUCAAAAACCUGAUUUAAUUCCAUUUCACGAACAUAACAUCUUAAAUACCUUGAAAUAUUCCUUCCAUCAAAUUGAUCAAUUUUAUUGACCACUGCUUGCAAUGCUUUGGUUGCCAAAGCUUUCUUUCGAUCAUUGCUUUGCUGUUGCUGCAUUGAUAAUGAGAAGGCUUGAAACAUACUAGCAAUAGAUGGAUCCAUGUGCAUACCUUGUCCUUUAGAAGAACCCCCACCAGAAACUCCUCUCAAAAAUCCUUCAAAAUUUUUAUUUUCGUUUUCCAUAAAAUAAAAAUAAAAAUAAAAUAAAAAAAAAUCGAAUACCUUCUACCUCAAGCCUUCAUGUCGAGUUCACCACUUUAUGUCAUAUUACGUGCUUUCUUGCUCGAGAACGCGCCGGACGUCUGGCUGUAGAAGGUAGUAUGGAGAUUCACGAAUAUUCAAGCAGUCUAUCGGUUAUUGACUGUUGGAAUAUAAACAACUGCAAGAAUACACUGUAAAUCUAUAUAGAUGCCCUUCGUCUGCUUGCCGAAGUCCUUUUUGCCCGAGCCAGUUGGUCUCUAGAGGUUACAGAGAACCUCGAACAACCCAAACUGCUAAUCUUCGAUACUGCUUUAUACUCACAAUCUUGUAUCCACUGACUAUCUUGUUAGAUUAACUUAAUAAAUUUCAUUCACUCUACAUACUCAAUCCUAUAGACAUCCUUUUAAUUCUUCAUCACAGACGUAACUCGAUUUCAGAAAACAAUCAAGAGUAAUCAAAUCCACUUCAUUAAAAAUCCCGAUUCACCAUUACAACAGUGACUUUGGCAACGAUUGCCUCAGUCUUUCCAAAACUCUAUGAAGAAAAAAAAUCCAAUUCUCUGUCUUUUUUCCCCGCUCGAAGCAUGAAGCUAGCUCUUUGAUCCUUCUCAAAAAAAACUCUCCUCUCCCCCCUCUCAUUUCUUAACCUUAAUUCUAAAUUUCUUGAAUCUUCCGUCUAAGAUCGAAAAUUGGCUCCCGCCGUCAGAGCUUGGAUCUAAAAUUGGCUCUUGUCGUCACAGCUUUCUCUUCCAUUUUUACCUUUAAGAGAUCUUUUUAUCGAAAGGACGUUCCCGGAACGGCACAAAGGACGAAACAGUCUAAAACGAAAUCGGAGCCCCGUAAACGGGACCACAUUGAGUCGCUCGACCAAUUUAGGUCUCAUAUUGGGUAAGAGUCCAGUAGUAAGACCUGGAUGUUCCUGUAAUUGGAUCAAAUUGAUCCUUCGCAUCAGACUCGCUGAGGCCCGUAGUAAGAUCCAAAUUUUCCCGUAAUUAGAUUGCAUUGGGUUGUCCGACCAAUUGAGGUCUCAUAUUGGGUAAGAGGACUUGGAUUAGAUGUCUUGAAAUUGGAUCCAAUUGGCUCUUCGAACUAGGCUCACCCGUUGUUGAAUUGGUCCUUUCUCUUUUUGCUGACUUCCGUUAUUGGAAUCGAACGGAGCAUUUCAGUAUGCCCCAGCUGACUGUAACGGGUUGACUGACCCUGGCCUCCCAGUAUUUGCACUGGAAUUGGUCGUUGCCCCUAAUAUUCGAGAUAACUAAAUAUUAAUAAAAGUCCCCUUUCUUUAUAUUUUUACGAUAUACUCGUGUUACAACACGACAACGGGCCUCUUAGCCAAUAUGAGACCUGAAUUGAUCGAGCGACUCAAUGUGGUCCCGAUUACGGGGGUUCCGAUUCCAUUUCAGGCUAUUCCAUCCUUUGUGCCAUUCCAGGAACGUCCUUUCGGUAAAAAGAUCUCUUAAAGGUAAAAUUGGAGGAGAAAGCUCUGACUACGGAGCCAAUUCCAGAUCCAAGAUGGAAGAUUGAAGAAAUUCAGAGGCUAGGGUUUGAAUGAGGGAAGAAUUAGGGUUAAAAGAGAGGAUAGGUUAAGAAAUAAAGGGAAGAGAAUAAGUUUUUUAGAAGGGUCGGAGAGCGAGCUUCAUGCUUCGGGGCGUGGAAAAGAGAUAGAAAAUUAGAGUUUUUUUUUCUUCAUAGGGUUUUGGAAAGACUGAGGCAAUCAUUGUUGAAGUCAGUGUUGUAAUGGUGAAUUGAGAUUUUUAAUGAAGUGGGUGUGAUUACUCUUGACUGUUUUGUGAAAUCGAAGUUACGUUUGUGAUUGAAGAAUUAAAAGGGUGUCUAUAGGAUUGAGUAUGCGGAGUGAAUGAAAUUUUUUGGGUUAAUCUAACAAGACAGUCAGUGGAUACAAGGUCGUGAGUAUAAAGCGAUAUCGGAGAUUAGCAAAUUGGGUUGUUCGGGAUUCUUUGUAAUGUGUAGAGACCUACCGGCUGGGGCAAAAAAGACUUCGGCAGGCAGUCGAAGGACAUCCAUAUAGAUUUAUGAUAUAUUCUUGCAGUUGUUUAUAUUCCAACAGUCAAAAACCGAUAGACUACUUGAAUAUUAGCGAAUCUCCAUACUACCUUCUACAGCCAGACGCCCGACGCGUUCUCGAGCAGGAAAGCACGCAAUAUGACAGUGGAUUACCCUCUUCUAAAUUGAUAUAGUUCUUAGUAUUUUCUUUGUCUUCAAGUCGUUUCUUCUAUUUAUCUUGAGCAGUAUUAGAUAUUUUUCUGAUUGUUAUUAUAAUAGAGCUUGUUGAAAUAAAGAGUACAAUUGCACAAAUGCAAGAACAAUUAAGAGAGAUGAUGCUUACAAUACAUCAACUUAGCUUACUACCACAAGGAUCAAUAAGAAUGAUAGAAAAUAAGGAUAUAGAGUUGAUUAGAGCUACUUCAACAUCUGCACCAAAUCAUGUCCUUCUAUCCAUGAUGGAACAUCCUUGAAAUCUUAGAAAACCAAGAAUUUUCCUUCCAAGCAGUUUAAUGGUACAAGAUCCAAAUUUCAAGGAUUUAUCAAUCAAGUAGAAGUUGCGAUUUAACUUCAACUUCAAAGCUAUCCAACUCUUAGAUCACAAGUUAGAUUCAAUGAUCUACUUCUUUCAUAUUCAAUACUAUUAUGAUUUUUAUCUUUUCUUAAAUGAGAAGAUCCAAUAUUAGAUAAUCUAGAUGCAUUUUUAGUAGAAUUUGGAUCCAUGCAUAGAGAACAUGAUACAACUUGUGUUGCAACUAAGAAGAUCUAUAUUUUGUAACAAGGCAAUCAAUCUAUAACAUUAUAUGCUUCACAUUUUUGACAACUUAUAAUUGAUAUCAAGUGAAAUGAUGUUGUACUUAUAAGCCAAUUUUUUUAUAGAUUACAAUAUGAAGUAGAAAAAUUAAUGCUCAACUUAUCUAAUCUUCAAACAUUGACUCAAGAAAUUGACUUUGUUGUGAAGUGCAACAAUCGGCUUUUUGAAUUUUAAUCUAAAAGUCACACAAGUGGACCUCAACAUUAUUACAAUUUAAUGGCAACACCAAUAUCUCCUCAAUAUAUACAUUCAUAAGUAGAGGAUACUCAAAUUGAUGCACUUCAUUUUAAACCUCUUACUGAGCAAGAAAAGACUCAUCACUAUCAAGAAGGAUUAUGCUUAUAUUAUGGAGAACCUAAACUUACUACUCAAUAUUAUCCAAAGAAGCGAUGAAACUAUAAAAUGAAGAACACAAUUAUCAAAGAAGACAAUGUAAGAAAAAAUGAAUUUGUCUAGCUACAAUAGAGACCGUGCGGUAGAAAUCUUAUACAAUUUCUAAUAAAGGUCCUAUCUUCUAUUCAAAAAUCUUAUAUUUAUUUUAUAAUAGAUGUGUAUUUAGGACCUAAUAAUUAUAAAGCCUGUGCCUUAAUAGAUACAAGAGCCUCAACUUAUUUCUUAAAUAUAGAAUUUGUUAAAAGUCAUAAAAUAUCAUUAGUACAAAAGUCUAAACCUGUUCAUAUAGAAGUCAUAGAUGGUCAUCAAUUAUCCUCUAGAGAUGUUACUUAUGAAACACUUCCUAUAGAUGUAACAAUAAUAGUCAUAGUAGUUAUGUAAUCUUUAAUAUAAUUAGAUUUCUUUCUAUCUAGUCAUUUUAGGUUUAUCAUGAUUAGAAAAGUAUAAUCCUUACAUAGAUUGGAUUUCUUGUAUUCUUGACUUUUCUAAAAAUAUAAUUAAGAAUGAAAUUAAUUCAAUAGAAAGUGAUAAAUCUAGCAUAAUAAAACCUAUAUUUAUAAGUAUGAGAUCUUUCUUGUAUAUUAUAAAAAAAAGUUCACCUUCGGUCAUUUAUGCCACACCUAUUUGUAAUGAUGUAAAGACUUCAAGUGAAAUUCCAAGCCAAUAUUAAGAGUUUCAAGAUGUAUUUGCAAGAAAGAAUAUAGAUACUCUUUCAAAAAACCAUCUCUAUGACUGCUCAAUUAAUCUUCAAGAAAGAACACAACCGCCAUUUGGACCAAUAUACAAUUUAUCAUAAAAUAAAUUUUUUGAAUUAAAUAAAUAUAUUGAAGAAAAUCUAGCCAAAAAUUUUAUAUCCCAUUCCAAAUCACCAAUAUGAACUCUAAUCUUAUUUGUAAAGAAAAAAGAUGGAUCAUUACAAAUGUGUGUUGAUUAUCAAGGACUCAAUAAGAUCACCAUCAAGAAUAGGUAUCCUAUACCUUUGAUAUCCUAAAUUCUCGAUUAAUUGAAUCAAGUUAAGAUUUGUACAAAAAUAGAUUUAUAUGGAGUAUAUAAUCCAAUACAUAUUAAAAAAAGAAAUGAAGGGAAGACUUCAUUUCAAACUAAGUAUCGACAUUUUGAAUACAACGUCAUGCCUUUUGGACUUACAAAUGUACCAAGAACUUUUCAACAUCUAAUGAAUGAUGUUUUUUAAAAAUUUUUGGAUGAUUUUAUUAUUUUUUAUCUAAAUAAUAUCUUGAUUUAUUUUAAAAAUAUAAAUAGAUAUGAACUUCAUGUUUGUUAUGUAAUACAAAAAUUAAGAGAUGUCCAAUUCUAUGCCAAGAUAGAAAAGUGUGUAUUUUGAACUAUUCAAGUUCACUUCUUAAGAUACAUCAUUUCAAAUGAUGGACUUGUAAUGGAUCCUAAGAAAGUUCAAACUAUUAUGAAUUAGAAGAUUUCAAAAAUGGUAAGAGAUGUCUAUUUCUUUUUGGACUUUGCCAACUAUUAUUGGAUCUUCAUCAAAGACUUUUUUCAAGUUAUAGCUCUACUUAUAUGUUUGACUUGCAAAGAAAAACUUGAGUAGAGCAGAGAAGUUGAAGCAUCUUUUGAAGCUUUGCAGUUAGCUUUUAUUUUUGCACCAAUCUUGUAUUGUGUCAACUUUUCUAAGGCAUUUUCUAUAAAAAAAAUUGCAUCAAACUUUACUUUACAUGUCGUUGUCAUAUUGUAACAUGACUAUAUGGUAAAAAUAUAAAUAAAAAAGAUAUUAUUAAUAUUUAGUUAUCUUGGAUAUUAGAAACAGUAGCCAAUUCCAGUACCAAUAUUCAGGGUCAGUUAAUGUCACCCCACCGGCAUCAUCGAACCAAGUUCCUUCCAUACCAACGGGACAACUAGGAUCAUUUUCCAACCCUACAUAGAACAAGCCUAGUAGGUAUAUAUCGGUGGAAACACCCAAUAUGCAUGAUGGAGGUGCAGGAAGACCACUUCGUCAUUUCCAUUGCAGAUAGAUUGGUCAUUAUGCUAAUAAAUAUUCUAAUUCCUAAACUAUUGAUGAUUACGUUGUCGUAUUGUAGUUCGGCUACUAUAUGAAAAUAAUGUAAUUAUGUACUUAAUAUAAAAUUUAUUAAGUAACAUGAUGAGAGCCAUGUUAGAAGAUUUUAGUUGGUUGUAGAAUAUAAUUUGAUUAUUACUUUGAGAAGAGGUUGUUUAAAAAGAUUACUAUAGAAUUUGUAUAACUUUAAUUUUCUUUUGAUAGUGAAUUUUAAGAUUGGUUUUGGUUGAUAAUAACUUCUAAAUACUUAGAGUCACCUUUAUUAGACAUUGGUGACCUUUGAAAACUUAUUUUGGUUCUUUUAUUUGGUGUUUAGAGCAUAAAUUAUAUAAAUCUUAUAAAAAAAAUGAUUGAAGAAGGAUUUUGGUAGCAAAAGGAGUAAUUAGGGCACCAAUAUAGAUGAAUGGAGAUGAAUAAUGAAAAUCACCAUUCCUAUUGAUCAAAAAUCAUGACCAAUAGGCUUUGAGGAGGCUACCUAAGGCCAUAUUAGGGAUUAGGAUUAGUUUUUCGAAGCCAUUCGAGUUUUGAAGGCUAGGAUCAGAAGUUUUAGGUUUUUGGCUAUGAUUUUGGUGCAAGUUUUGUAUAGUUUGGAGUUCAUAUGAAGGAGAUACAAGCACUCAAAGUUAAGGUGUUGAUUUGGGAGCUACUGUCACUCUUUUUGGCAUAACGCAUGCGUACGGAUAGCAAUUGAGGAUCGGCAACUAUGACUAAAGAGAGCACUUUUGUGGCUACACUUUUCAUGUAUUGCUUAUUGGAUUCCAAGUUGAAGUGAAGGAAUUAUUGGAUUUUGAAGUCAGUACAUGCAAUCUAAGGGUAGUAAGUAGUCCGAUUUGCUAGUGGUUGUCUCUUGAGAUAUAUCUUGAGCAAUUUGACAAGAUUUUUGCUCAAAUUUUCAAAGAAUGUGUAAUUGUAUGUUAAUAAACUUUGUACAUAAGUAUUAUGAUAUUUGAGUAUUGGGUUCUUGAGAUAUUAAGAAAAUAGUAUUCGGAUGCUUGUAAAUUAGGGUUUAGAGCAUCUGCUAGAGUUUCUAAGAUGCCAAAAGAUUGGGAGUGAAUUUGCAAUUGGUUUCUUUUGUGAUAAAAGUUAAAGGUGAAUUCUACUGAUCUUAUAAAUUUGAAACAAAUUGAAUGAUUAGAUCAAGAGUUAUGAUUUUAUAAAUUUUGGGACAAGAAAACCUUCGCGGAAAAAAUAUGUUUUGAAGGGGUUUUGUUAUAUUUUGAGUUUUAUAAAAAAUAAAAGAAUUUUGGGAGGCUAAGAUAAGAUUCAUAUAAAGGUUUAAGCUACACUCUCUACAGCUAAAUACCUAGUGUAUUCCUAGAUAGCAAAUCAUGCCAUACGACAGAUCUGGUGAACCUGAUGUGAAAGUUUCUGGGGUAUAGAGUUUUGAAGAAAUUUUUUGGCUUUCUAUUAUGGAUGGGAGGCAAAGAAGUGGUAGUAGGAAUUGCACUGGAGAAUCUCCAUUGCAACUUGAUCUUAGUACAAUUCAAAAGUUUUAAGCAUUUAUACUUUUUAUGCAAGAAUAACAAGUAGUGGAACGCAAGGUGGUAAUGGCUACUAAAGCCUUCCAAUCUGUUGUUGGUUUAUUGGAUCAAUUUGAUGGAAGAAAUAUUUCCAAGUAUCUUAAGUAUUAUUCUCGGAAGAUGGAGCUCAAUAAAGUACCGAAGAAAGAUAUGAUCCUUGCAUUUGAGCUUGUAGUUAUAUCUAAGCUUCAUGAACAUAUAAAAGAAAUUAUUAAAACUUAUGUAUUCUUUGGAAGAUACAAAAAGGGUGACAAGAAAAUUGUUCAUAGAAUAGAUCAAUAAAUCCAACAAGGGUUUGGUUGCAACAGAGUUAUUUCAAGAAUUUGAAAGUUAAUUUCUUCAAUUGUCUCGAGUGGAAAAGCUUAUACUUAAAAAUGAUAACGUGGAGUUAUUUCUUCAAUCAGCUAGUAAUGAUUUACAAAGGAAGUUGGAAUUACUAUUGGAAGAUAAUACAGAGGAUAACGGACUUACUACUAAUUGAAAGAAAGUCUCUGAAGCUGUGGGCAUACUUGCCAAAAGAGAGUAUCGGAGGAGUAAGGUGGUAGUAAGGCAAGAGACUAGACCUCCACCAACUACAACAUCUCGUAGGUAAAUGCCAAAAUCUACUAUACUAGUAAGUACUAUUCCAAUUCCUAUGUCUAUAGUUGUAUCACUGAAAGAUGUAAUUGAUGAGUUGAUAAAAAGAAUGAAAGACUUACAAAUCAAACUGGCAAAGCUAGAGGAGAAAGAAAGAUUAUCUGAGAGCAAAUCUGUAUCAAAGCCAGGAUAUAUACAACGAUGUAUUUGGUGCGAUAGUAUGGAGCAUCCUCAAAGGGAAUGUGGAGAUUUUGCUGAUAUUCUGUGAUAGGGAGUAAUUUUAUGGAAGGACGAAAAAAUUGCAUUAUGAGAUACAAGUGAGUUUCUCAAUACCAAUUUUGAAAAAAAAAGGAUGAAAAAGGUUUUGGAAGAGCAUUUAUAUCAGUAGGCUAUGACAUGAAGAGAAGCUAUUACUUAUGGCAUUGAGGUUGUAAGAGAGAAGGAGGAUGUUUUUGACAAGCAUGUAAACACAGGGGAUCUAUGAAAUCAUGCUAUUAUUAGCAUGAAUAAAGAAAAAAUAACAAGGCAAAAAUUACUUAAUACAGCCACAAUAAUUAGAAAUGCUACAACAUGGGAUGAUCCUAUAGAUGCUAUGUCUGUACAUGCUUAUUUGACAAAGUUCUAACAUGAAGCUUUACUGGAGGUAAAAAGAGGAAGAAAUAAAAUAGAAGAAAAUUUUGAAGAGCCAACCAACAAGAGGAGAUUUCAAAGAUAUGUAGAAAUGACACAAAAUAAAGAAAUACCUAUAUCACAAGCUAAUAGACUAUCUAGGGCUGGGCCAUGGACAUCGCACCCUAGAAAAGUACCACUGCCAAAAGAAAAAUGGGAAGAAAUGAUAGAAGUUGAUAAAGACAAAACGAAGAGUAAGCAUGUUACUUAUAAACUUCAAUCAGAUAUUGAGGCAGCCAUAGAUUUAAAAGGAGUAUUGGUGUCAUGGACAUAUUCAUGUAAGUCAGUAAUUACAUAUAUAAAUAGGUAGAAGUAAGUAAAAGUAGGUAAAAGUAAGUUAAUUCUGUAGUAUUUGAUAUGAAAGCUUCUUAGAAGCUUUAUAGAUGCUGCUUUGACUUCAUAGGUGGCUUUAAUUGAUUUUUUGGAUUAGAAAUGUAGUCAAUAAGUUGGCCAUCUGCCACACAUGUUGUUAGCUUGAAGACCAAGCUAACUAUGUGGCCCACAUGUAGAAAAACUUUCUUUGUAAGUCAAGACAUGUAUCCUACAAAGUCAACAUAUGUUAGAGGUCCUAUAGAAUGUCACCACAUAGUCCCUAGUUAGAUAAUAUAUAUAGAGACAAGAGUGAAGCCUUCAUCACUCUUGUAAACUCCUUUCUUCUUUCCAGUCUUGUUUCAAGAGUCUUCAUAUUUUAUAGUCUUAAGCAAUAGCCAUUCCAGUUUCUCUUUCAAUAUACAUAUUUAUUUAUUUAUAUUUUGUUACCUUUCUUUGAGCGAAGGCUCACUUGUUUGAAUUGCUUUUCAUCAAGUUCUUGUCCUUGACCAAUUGACAAGAGUAUACUUACAAUAUCAAAGCUUUAUCUUAUCUUGAUUAAGAAUAGAUUAUCUAUUUUUCUUAAUAACAUACAAGCAUAUUAGAAGUUGCAGAUUACCCUUUUCUAAAUUGAUAUUGUCCUUAGUCUUUUCUUUGUUCUCAAGCCCUCUCUUCUAUUUGUCUUCAGUGAUAUUAGACAUCUUCUCUUUUCUAAGUGUUAUUAUGGCAGAACUUGUUGAAAUGAAGAGUGCAAUGGCACAAAUGCAAGAGCUAUUGAGAGAGUAAAUGCUUGCGAUGCAUCAAUUCAAUUUACCACCACAAAGAGCAACAAGAUUGGCAGGAAGUGAAGAUAUAGAAAUAGUUGGAGUUGCUUCAACAUCUGCACCAAAACAUAUCCUUUCUCCUAUGGUGGAACGUCCUUCCAAUGUUAGAGAACCAAGAAUUGCCCUACCCGAGAAGUUUGAUGGCACCAGAUUCAAGUUUUGAGGAUUUAUCAAUGAAGUGUAAUUUGUGAUUGAACUUCAACCCGAAAGCUAUCCAACUCUAGAAUCGUAAGUUAGAUUCAUUGAUACGCUUCUUUCAGGUUCAGCACUAUCGUAUUUUUCAUCUUUUCUUAAACAACGAGAUUCAAUAUUGAAUAAUCUAGAGGUUAUUCUGGCAGAGUUUUGAUCCAUGUAUGGAGAACAUGAUGCAAUUCGUGUUGCAACUAAUAAGAUCCAUAUUUUAUGACAAAAAAAUCGAUUAAUAACGUUGUAUGCUUCACAUUUUUGACAACUUACAACUGAUAUCAAGUGAGAUGAUGCUGCACUUAUUAGCUAAUUUCUCUACGGAUUAUAAUAUGAGGUAAAAAAAUAAUGCUCAACUUACUUGAUCCUCAAAUAUUGAGUCAAGUAAUUGACUUUGUUGUGAAGUGCGACAAUCGCUUUUUUGAAUUCCAAUUUGAAAAUCGUACAAGUGGACCUCAACGUAACUAUAAUUCAAUAGCAAUACCAACAUCUCUUCAACAUAUAUAUUCAAAAGUAGAGGAUAUGUAAAUUGAUGCAAUACGUUUCAAACCUCUUACUGAAGAAGAAAAGACUCAUCAUCAUCAAGAAGGAUUAUGUUUAUAUUGUAGAGAACCAAAACACUUUGCUCAAUAUUGUCCAAAGAAACGACGCAAUUGCAAAAUGAGGAGUAUGGCUGUCAAAGAAGACAAUAUGUCAGAAAAUGAGUUUGUCCAGUUACAAUAGGGAUCGUGCAGCUAGAACCUUGCACAACAUCUAAUAAAGGUCUUAUUCUCUCCUCACAGCCCUCUCCUUGUUUUACAUUAAAUGUUAUUUUAGAACCUAAACAUUACAAAGCCUGUGCCUUGUUAGAUUCACGAGCCUUAGCGUGUUUCUUAGAUGAAGAAUUUACUAAAAGAUAUAGCAUAACUUUAGUAAAGAAAACUAAACUUGUUCAUGUAGAAGUCAUAGAUGGUCGUCCAUUGUCUUCUAUAGAUAUUACUCACAAAAUCCUUCCUAUAGAAGUAAUAAUCAAUGGUCGUAAUAGCUUUGUAAUAUUUAAUAUCAUUAGAUCUCUUUCUAAUUCAAUUAUUUUAGAUUUAUUGUGGUUAAAAAAAUACAAGCCUCAAAUAGAUUGGAUUUUCCGAACUCUUACUUUCUCUAAAAUUAUAACUACUAGUGUAGUUAAUCAAGUAGAGAGUCAUAAGUCCAGUUCAAUUAAACCUGUGUUUAUAGGUGUAAAAGCUUUCUUAUAUGCUGCUAUAAAAGAAUCAUCAUAUAUUAUUUAUGCCACACCUGUUUUUAAUGGUGCAAAGACUUCACGUGGCAUUCUAAGCUAAUAUCAAGAAUUUUAAGAUGUAUUUGAAAAAAAGAAUGUGAAUACACUCUCAGAACAUAAUCCCUAUGAUUGCUCAAUUGACCUUCAAGAAGAAGCACAACCACCAUUUGGACCAAUCUACAGUUUAUCACAAAAUGAAUUGAUUGAAUUCAAGGAGUAUAUUGAAGAAAAUCUAGUCAAGAAUUUCAUAUGCCAUUCUAAAUCUCCGACAAGAGCUCCAAUUCUAUUUGUGAAGAAAAAAGAUAGAUCAUUGUGGAUGUGUGUUGAUUAUCGAGGACUCAACAAGAUUACCAUUAAAAAUAGGUAUCCACUAUCUUUAAUAUCUAGACUUCUUCAUCAGCUAAAUCAAGCUAAGAUCUAUAUAAAAAUAGAUCUCCGGGGAGCAUACAAUCUAAUACGCAUCAAAGAAGGAGAUGAAUGGAAGACUGCGUUUCAAACUAAGUAUGGAUAUUUUGAAUACAACGUCAUGCCUUUUGGACUUACAAAUGCACAAGCAGCUUUUCAACAUCUAAUGAAUGAUGUUUUUUGAGAUUUUUUGGACGAUUUUGUGGUCUGUUAUCUAGACGACAUCUUGAUCUAUUCUAAGAAUCCAGAAGAACAUAAACUUCAUGUUCGUCGUGUGUUACAAAAAUUAAGAGAUGCGGGAUUCUAUGCCAAGAUAGAAAAGUAUAUAUUCCAUACUACUCAAGUCGAUUUCUUAGGUUACAUCAUUUCAAAUAAUGAACUUAUGAUGGAUCCUAAGAAAGUUCAAAGUAUUAUAGAUUGGAAGAUUCUAAAAAUUGUAAGAGAUAUUCAAUACUUUUUGGGAUUUUCCAACUACUAUCGAAUCUUCAUCAAAGACUUCUCUCAAGUUGUAGCUCUACUUAUACGUUUGACUUGUAAAGACAAACUCCAAUAGAAUCAAGAAGCAGAAGUUACUUUUGAAUCUUUGAAAACAACGUUUGUUUCUGUACCAAUCUUGUAUCGUGUUGAUUUUUCCAAAGUAUUUUUUAUGGAAACAGAUAUAUGAGACUUUGCUUUAGGUGCGGUUUUGUCACAAAUGGGAAUAGAUGAAAAACUUUAUCCAGUAGCCUUUCAUUCAAGAAAAUUCUCAGUAGCAGAAAUCAAUUAUGAGAUCCAUGAGAAAGAACUUCUUGCAAUUGUGGAUUCUUUUCAAGAUUGGCGUCAUUAUCUAGAAGGUAAUUCCAGUCUAGUCACCGUAUAUACAGAUCAUAAGAACCUCAAGUAUUUCAUGUCAACACGCAUAUUAAAUCAUCGUCAAGCUUGUUGGAGCAUGUCUUUAUGAAGAUUCAAGUUCAUCAUCACUUAUCGGCCAAGAAAACAACAAGGUUUGUCCGAUGCCUUGUCUAGACAUUCUUAUCUUGCGCCAAAAGAAGAAGAUGCAGCUUUUGAGCAAUAAAGAAUGGUUCUCUUCAAGCUGGAGUAAUUUCAUCUUUGAGCAAUAAAAUCAACAUUGACUGUUGAUUUAACUUUUCUCAAGCUAAUCUAGUUAAGUAUGUCUUUAGACCUUCUUAUUCAUGAUAUCAAGAAUAAUUCUUCUAGAUCUCAUGAUCCCUCUAAAUUCGAGUUCAAGAAUAAUCUAUUUUAUUUCGAAGGACGCCUAUAUGUUCAAGAAGGAGAAGCAUGUUUAUGUGUUCUUCAAGCUCGUCACGACUUCCCAGCAGUAGGAUAUUUUGGAUAGAAUAAGACAUUGGAGCUAAUAUCUAGGGAUUUUUGGUGGCCUCAAAUGUGGAAGGCAGUCAAAGAUUUUGUACAAUCAUAUGAUGUUUGCUCAAGAUCAAAAACUCCUCGUCAUCGACCUUUUGGACUUCUUCAGCCAUUAUCCAUUCCAAAACAACCAUGCUCUUCUAUUUCUAUAGACUUCAUUAUGGAUCUUCCAAUCUCACAUUCUUAUGACUCUGUAUUCGUGAUAGUAGAUCGUUUCACCAAGAUGGUACAUUUUGUACUAUAUACAAAAUCUAUCACAAGUGAAGAAAUAACUAAGCUCUUUCUUGACAAUAUCUAUUGCUAUCAUGGAUUACCCAAGGAUAUUAUAUCAGAUAGGGGAAUCCAAUUUUUAUCAAGAUUUUAGCGGACUCUUUUCAAGAUUCUAAAAGUGGAUAUAAAACUAGCUUUGGCAUUCCAUCCUCAAACUGAUGGACAAACGGAGCAUGUUAAUCAAGUUUUGGAGCAAUAUUUAAGAUGUACUAUUAACUACCAACAAGAUGAUUGGACAACUCUUGUGCCAUUGGCAGAGUUUGCUUACAAUAAUAUAAUACAUUCUUCUACAAAACAAAUACUUUUCUUGGUUAAUUAUGGUUAUCAUCCACGACUUGAUACUUUUGACUUUUCAAAAUUUGAUAAUCCUGCUGCAAAAGAUUUGAUAAUUCAUUUGUCAGAGCUACAUGCAACAAUGAAGGUGCAGUUAAAAGAAGCUCAAGAAUAAAAAAAAGUCAAUGUGGAUGUCUAUCAAAAGAAACAACUACCAUUCCACUUAGGUGAUAAGGUAUAGCUACUUCGUUAUAAUAUCAAGACCACUCGUUCUUGUGAGAAGUUGGACAAUCAAAGGCUUGGACCAUUUUCUAUUUUUGUACAAAUCAAUCUAGUUGCAUAUCAUUUACAUCUAUUGGAGUCAAUGAAAUCCAUCCAAUAUUCCACAUGUCUCUUCUUGAACCAUACAAGACAGUGGACAUACUAAAAAGAUGACAAGCUCUACCUCCUCCUAUAGAAGUGGAUAAUAAUGAAGAAUUUGAAGUCGAAGAAGUCUUAGAUUCAAGGUGGCGCUGAAAUAAAUUGAAAUAUCUUGUCUAUUGGCGUGGAUAUGAUAUUAGUGAACACACAUGGGAGCCAGUUAAGAAUCUUGCAAAUACAACAAAGGCGGUGGAGGCUUUUCAUCAACGACAUCCAUCAAAAUCAAGAUGAAAAUCUUCUUUAUAAAAGAAACAAUAUCUAAGCAAGAUAAUAUUCUUCUUUCAAUCCUUGUUUGUAGCUUCUUUGUAGAUGUGACGCUCAGAAGAUGGAGAACCAAUAACUAGCAGAUUCAACUUAAGAGCCUUUAUUUGUUGACUUUCCAUACGAGACAUUAUGAUUGUCACAACCUUUAAGACGACGCAAUCGAGAUGAAGAUCUUUAAGAAUGACAUGUUCUUCCUCGAAUAGAUGGCAAGAUAAAAUGCAUUUGGUAUCACAACUUGGGAAGGGACUCCCGACGUUUGGUGAUUUUACUAGAGGUAGGAACAAUUCCUGAUGGUGUUUCAAAUGUUUUAUUCGAAGGAAGUUAUAAAGGCCUCAACAAUGAUCAAAUAACUGGGUAGUCUUUGUGCCUUGGUAUGGAACACUAUCGAUGGUUGAGAGGCCCUAUCAAUCAUCUUUGAAGAGAACAAAGAUCAAAGUAUGUGGCGGAUUCAAUUUGUUGCAUCAUAGAUUCCUUCAACAUAUGAUGACCACUCCUCAUAGAACUCAUUCUUAGAAGGGGAGGUAAUAUCAUGGACAUACUCAUGUAAGUCAAUAAUUACAUAUAUGAAUAGGUAGAAGUAAGUAAAAGUAAAUAAAAGUAAGUUAAUUCUAUAGUAUUUAAUAUGAAAGCUUUCUAGAAGCUUUAUAGAUGCUACUUUGACUUCAUAGGUGGCUUUAAUUGACUUUUUGGAUUAGAAACAUGGUCAACAAGUUGGUCAUGUGCCACACAUGUUGUUAGCUUGAAGACCAAGCUAACUAUGUGGCCCACACAUAGAAAAACUUACCUUGUAAGUCAAGGCAUGUAUCCUACAAAGUCAACACAUGUUGGAGGUCCUAUAGAACGUCGCCACAUAGCCCCUAGUUAGAUAGUAUAUAUAGAGAUAAGAGUGAAGCCUUCUUCACUCUUGUCAAUUCCUUUCUUGCUUUCAGUUUAGUUUGAAGAGUCUUCAUGUUUUCUAGUCUUUAGCAAUAGCCAUUCCAGUUUUUUUUUCAAUAUACAUAUUUGUAUAUUUAUAUUUUGUUACCUUUUUUUGAGUGAAGGCUCACUUCUUUGAAUUAAUUUUCAUCGAGUUCUUGUCCUUGAUAGUUGACAGGAGAAUCUGCUGUAUCUAGUACUUUGGAUACAAUCUUUAUUAAAAAAGAGGAAUAUGAAUUGGUAGAAUAUAGUAUCAAUAAAAAUGGACAAUUUGAUUUGGAUGAAUAUAAGGAUGAUGACAUGAGCCCUGGACACUAUAUCAAGAGACAUUGAGCAAGAUCCACUAUAGAGACUUUAGUAAAAAUGUAAGAUUUGGUAGAACCAGUAAUUGCUCUCAUUCACCAUGGAUCUGAAAUUAAUAUUAUGUCAAAAGAAGUCUAUAAAUGUGGAAGGUGGCCAUUGAUAUUAACCAGGGAUGGAUGAUUCAGAUAGCAAAUAAUACACAAGGAGAUCUUUAUGAUGUUUGCCCGAAUGUGAAGGUAAAAGUUGGAGAUGUGACUAUGGAACAAAUUCUUUUUGUUCAAGACACUACUUCAUACUCAGUGAUUCUUGGUCAACCUUAUAUUACAAUUGUGAGGAUGGAGACCAAAGUUUUGGAUGAUGGAUCAGCAGGUGCCCGUAUUAGAAGUCAAGAUAAAAAAAAGGCAAUGCAAUUUCUAACAAUACCUGCAAACCAUGAGCGCAAUCGGGAUUAUUUAUGAAGUGAUUUAUUAUCAAGGAUCAGUGAAGAAUUUACAGAUUUUUGCAAGGUAUCACUAUAGAGCAGGAAUAUAGUGGUACAUCUAAGAAAGUAUUCUCGCAUGGAGAGAAUAAUAUCUUUUAUACAGGGCAUUUGUGAAGAUAUUAGAGAAGACAUAUAUUUCUUCAAAAAUGAAGAAAUAAAAGACGUGGAUAAAUAUAUAUAUAUAUAUAUAUAUAUAUAUAUAUAUUGGGAAGGUGAUAUGAUGUCAACUACAAAUUUUUUUCUUUUUGGUGCAUACCAGAGAAUGUACAGGUUUAGAGGGGAUGGAUGUCGUGUUGUGGUUUGGCAACUAUAUCAAAAUAAUGUAAUUAUGUACUUAAUAUAAAAUUUAUUAAGUAACAUGAUGAGAGCCAUGUUAGAAGAUUUUAGUUGGUUGUAGAAUAUAAUUUGAUUAUUACUUUGAGAAGAGGUUGUUUAAAAAGAUUACUAUAGAAUUUGUAUAACUUUAAUUUUCUUUUGAUAGUAAAUUUUAAGAUUGGUUUUGGUUGAUAAUAACUUCUAAAUACUUAGAGUCACCUUUGUUAGACAUUGGUGACCUUUGAAAACUUAUUUUGGUUCUUUUAUUUGGUGUUUAGAGCAUAAAUUAUAUAAAUCUUAUAAAAAAAAGGAUUGAAGAAGGAUUUUGGUAGCAAAGGAAGUAACUAGGGCAUCAAUACAGAUGAAUGGAGAUGAAUAAUGAAAAUCACCAUUCCUAUUGAUCAAAAAUCAUGACCAAUAGGCUUUGAGGAGGCUACCUAAGGCCAUAUUAGGGAUUAGGAUUAGUUUUUCGAAGCCAUUCGAGUUUUGAAGGCUAGGAUCAGAAGUUUUAGGUUUUUGGCUAUGAUUUUGGUGCAAGUUUUGUAUAGUUUGGAGUUCAUAUGAAGGAGAUACAAGCACUCAAAGUUAAGGUGUUGAUUUGGGAGCUACUGUCACUCUUUUUGGCAUAACGCAUGCGUACGGAUAGCAAUUGAGGAUCGGCAACUAUGACUAAAGAGAGCACUUUUGUGGCUACACUUUUCAUGUAUUGCUUAUUGGAUUCCAAGUUGAAGUGAAGGAAUUAUUGGAUUUUGAAGUCAGUACAUGCAAUCUAAGGGUAGUAAGUAGUCCGAUUUGCUAGUGGUUGUCUCUUGAGAUAUAUCUUGAGCAAUUUGACAAGAUUUUUGCUCAAAUUUUCAAAGAAUGUGUAAUUGUAUGUUAAUAAACUUUGUACAUAAGUAUUAUGAUAUUUGAGUAUUGGGUUCUUGAGAUAUUAAGAAAAUAGUAUUCGGAUGCUUGUAAAUUAGGGUUUAGAGCAUCUGCUAGAGUUUCUAAGAUGCCAAAAGAUUGGGAGUGAAUUUGCAAUUGGUUUCUUUUGUGAUAAAAGUUAAAGGUGAAUUCUACUGAUCUUAUAAAUUUGAAACAAAUUGAAUGAUUAGAUCAAGAGUUAUGAUUUUAUAAAUUUUGGGAUAAGAAAACCUUCGCAUGAAAAAUAUGUUUUGAAGGGGUUUUGUUAUAUUUUGAGUUUUAUGAAAAAUAAAGGAGUUUUGGUAGGCUAAGAUAAGAUUCAUAUAAAGGUUUAAGCUACACUCUCUAGAGCUAUAUAUCCAGUGUAUUCUCAGAUAGUAAAUCAUGCCAUACGAUAAUACGUCUGUGUGUAGGAAUUGCAAGCAGAUCAGGCAUACUUAUCAGCAAUGUAAUACUCCAUCCAAUUUUAAUAAAUGGAAUCAGUAGAUCCAAAGCCAAGGAAAAAUUUAGGAGAUAAAUCAAGGUCUUUAAGAUUCUCUGAUAAAUCAGAUUGAAUGAGUCCAAGCUGUUCUUGCUAGAAGUCCGCAAAAGAAAAAAAGACUAAUUCAAUAUUCGAGUGAAUCUGAUGUAAAAGGCCAAUUUGAUCUAAUUACAAGGACAUCCAAUCCCAGUCCUGGUAUGGGCCUCUUACUUAAUAUGAGACUUAAUUUGGUUGGGCAAUCGAAUGAGGUCCCGAAUAUAGAGGCUUCGGUUCCAUUUCAUGUUGUUUUAUUUUCUAUGCCAUUUCGGGAAAAAUGUCCUUUCCGUAGAAAGAUCUUCUUAGAGAUAGGAAUUUUGAGGAAGCAUUGUCGGUUGCUCUAAUUCGAAGUCUAGGACGGGAGAAAAUAUGACCACAUGGAGUUAAAUGGAGAAGAGGAUAAGGAAAGGGGCAUUCGGGAGAUCGAGAUUUUGGAGGUCGAAGAAAUGGCUUUAAGCUCCUCCGAAAGGUAUAAAAUUGGGUUCAUAGGAUUUGGGAGAACUUUGGCAAUCGUUGCUGAAAGUUAGUAUUUGUAUUGGUGAUUUGGGUUUUUUUUUGCAAUAAAUUUAAGGCUGAUAUUCUUGACUAUUUUGUGAAAUUGGAGAAACUUUUGAGGUUGAAAUUUAUAGGUGUCUAGAGGGUUGAGUAUGCCGAGUGCGUGCAAAAGUUUGUGUUAAUCUGACAUAAUAGAUAGAAGUUAUUUGACCAUUAGCAUAAAGAGGUAUCAGAAGUUAGCAGAUUGGAGUUUUUUAGGAUUUUUGUAAUAUCUGGAGAUCUAUCGACUGGAAUUAGGUGACUUUUGGUAUGGUAAGUCGAGGACUUUUAGACGGCGGUCAAGAUACAUCAAUGUGGAUUUACGACAUUUUUUUGUAAUUUAUAUUUAGAUUGGAUUGAAACUUCUUGAAUAUUUAGAAGGCUUGUAAAGACACUAGUGGUAGAAGUUUACAACAAUCAAAGAGUGAGAUUGGGAAUAACAGCUUGUCGAAGCUCGUUGUCUAGGAUUAGAGUUUAAAAAAUAAAAAUAAAAAUAAAAAUAAAUAAAAAAAUAAAAAAUAAAAUAAAAUAAAAUAAAACUAAUAAAUAAUAAAAAAAUUAUACUUAUAAUAUCUUAAAGUUAUUAAAAAUAGUAUUUCUAAGUAUUUUGUAAUAGAAUUAAGCUUUUAUAUUGAAAUCCGAAAUAGUUUGUAUUUAGAUGGUUGAAAUCCACUAGCCUACUCGGAUACUUACAAAACAAUAUUUUAUCUUCUACACCCAGACGCUCGGUGCAUUCUCAAGUAAGAUAGUACGUAAUAUGAUAUAAGUGGUGAACCCAAUGUGAAAGCUUGAAGUGGAAGGUAUUGGAUUUUGUUUAUUUUUAUUUUAUUUUAUGGAGAAUGAGAAUAAAAAUUUUGAAGGAUCUUUGGGAGGAGCUUCUGGUGGAGUUUCUUCUAAAGGACUGGAUAUAUAUAUGGAUCCAUCCAUUGCUAGUAUAUUUCAAGGCUUAUCAUUAUCUAUACAGUAACAACAAAGCAAUGAUUGCAAAGAAGCUUUAACAACCAAAGCUUUGCAAGCAGUGGUCAAUAAAAUUGACUAGUUGGAUGGAAGGGAUAUUUCAAAGUAUUUAAGAUGUUAUGUUUGGAAAAUAGAAUUAAAUUGAUUUUCUGAAAAGAAGAUGGUUGAAUUAUUUGGACUAGCCACAAUACCAAAGAUAAGAAAGCAUAUUACCUCAAUUAUAGAGCAUUAUAGAAAUUCAUGGGAGAUUUUUUUACAUGCAUUAAAAGACAAAUAUUUCUUGGAGGACAGUGAUCAUGUUACUAAGAAACUAUUUCUAGAAUGGAUUGAGUGGCCUAAUAAGAAUUUCAAGCAACAGAGCUACUAAAGAAAUUUGAGAGGUAGUAUUCUCAAUUAUCGAAGGUAGAAAAAUUGACAUUAGAGUCGAACAAGGUUGAAUUAUUUCUUCAAGCUGCUGAUAGAAAAUUACAACGAAAAUUGGAAUUGCUUCUUGAAAACAAAGAAGAAGAUGAAGGAUUGACAACAAAGUGGAAAAAUAUUAAAAAUGCGAUGGAUUUGCUUGCAAAAAGACAAAAGAAGAAAGAUAGGAGUAAUAUUCCAAAAGCAGUACAAGCACCUAAAAUUUCAAUACAUACAACACGACCAAUAUUGUCUACUAUUCAACCUUCAACAUCUUUAUCGAAGAAAGGAGAGAUGGAGAUUGAAGAAAUUAUAUGUAGAAUAUGAGAUCUUCAAAUCAAAUUAGUAAGACUUGAAGAAAAUACUUCUGUAAAUAAUUUUAAGAAUGUUUCAAAACAAGGGUAUGUACAAAGAUAUAUCUGGUAUGAUGAUAUUUCACAUACUAGGAAGGAUUGCAAUAAAUUUAAUAAUAUGAUACAGUAAGGAGUUAUUUGCUAGAAAGAUGGAAAGAUUGCAUUAAAGGAUAUAGAGGAUCUCCUUCAAACUAAUUUUGGCAAAAGAGGUAUGAGAGCAUUGAUUCAAGAUUACUUAAUAGAACAUGGAAUAGCAACACGAGAGAGUACAAGUUAUGGUACUGGAGUAGAUGAUGACUUUGGUGGAAGUAUAGAAACUAGUGAAUUUUGGGCUUCUACCAUUUCAACAAUGUAAAAAGAAAAAAUACCUCGGGAAGCAUUAUUGAGGACUACAGCUAUAAUAUGAGGUAUAAUAGGUUGGGAAGAUCCUGUUGAGUCUCUUUUAAUUCAUGCAUAUAUUGCUAAGAGCCAACAUGAAGCCUUGAUGGAAGAAAAGAGAUGAGAAAAUUUUGAUGAUACAAAAAAAGGAAAUUCUUCUAAGAGGCAAACUCGAGUAAAUGAGGCUCGUGAGGCGAUUUCACAAGAAUUGCCUAUAAAGGAUACUUCAGCAUCAUUGGAAGAAAAAACAAAGGAGACAAAAGAUAAGGAUAAAUCAAUUGCUUAUAAGCUACUUUCUGAUAUUGAAGCGGCAACAAAUUUAAAAGGGGUGCUGAAAGAACAUAUAUUAAAUGCUAAGGUAGAAUUCACAUUAAAAGAGAUUUUAGAAAUUAUAAAGAAGGAAUUUCAUGAUGUUAUCAUUGGUAGCAUUAAGCGAAAGAGGCAAUUAAUAGAUGAAGUUGGAAUGAGUCAUGCUAUUGAUGCAGGAUUAUAUAAAAAUGAAGAAGAGGUUGAUAAUGGUUACAAGCAAUCAAUAAAUGAAAAGAAUAGAUAUAAUCAACGAGUACAUUUUGAAGAUUAUAGUGAUAAGGAAAUAGAAGCUUCAAGCCAUUAUACUCGAAAACAUUGGGCAAGGGCAACUAUUGAAGUAUUGGUGAAAGUAGGAGAUAUAGAAGAACCAAUUGUUGCUUUAGUUGACCAUGGUUCUGAAAUAAAUCUUAUGUCUAAGGAUCUUUAUAAGAAGCAAAAAUUACCAAUUGAUAUCAAAUAUGGAUAGGCAAUACAAGUAGCUAAUAAUUCAUGAAUUGAAUUAUAUAGAGCUUGUCCAGAUGAAAAAAUUCAGAUUGAAGAUGUUGCGAUAGAAUAACAUUUUUUUGUUCAAGAUACAAUGUCUUAUCCAUUGAUUUUAGCACAACCUUAUAUUAUGGCAACACGAAUGAAAACAAAAGUACUUGACGAUGGUUCUGCUUAUGCAAGGGUAUAUAGUGAAGAUUGAAAGAAAGUUGUAUAAUUUCCGACAGUACCUCCUAAUCAUAAAUGGAAUCAAGAUAAGUUGAGGGAGAAACCAUUGCCAAGGAUUGUUGAAGGAUUUAAGGAUUUUGGAGAAGUACCACUAUAAAGCGGGAUUAUGGAGGUACAAAAGAGGAGGUACUCUCGCGAGAUGAAGAUACCUUUUGAUGUGAGUUUUAUUGAUAUUUUUGAAAAUAGAAAUAUUAUGUAUAAGAAAGUUGAUGAUUUUAAAAGAAAAAAAAAAAAUAUUAUAUAGUAUUGAAAAGAAAUUACGAAAAUUAGAGACAUUAGAAGAUGAUGAGAAGAUUUUAAGUGUUUAUGAAGAAAAUGGAUUCGAGGAUUCUUCAGAAUUAAUUAUAUCUAUUGGGUUAGGGAAUAAUGGUAAGAUUGUAAAAAUUCAUUUGAGGGAGGUUUAUUCUAUACUUGAGUCUUUUCAAGCACUAGAAGUUAUUAUAGAGACAAAAUAUAAAAUAGUAGAUAAAAAGAUAAAACCUAUUGCCAGACCUUUACUAGAAGAUUUUAAGGAACAAAUAGAAUAAGCAUAAAAAAAAGACAGUUUAAGAGAUCUAAAGAAGAUUAGACAUCAGUUUACAAAAGAGACUUUUGAAGAAUUGAAGAUUGGAUGUAAUGGUUCCUUAUUUCUAAUAGAUUUGAAUAUUUUAAAAAAAUUCUUGCAAAACGAGGUAAAUCAUUUGCCUUUGGGUCUCGUGAAAUAAGAUGUAUAGAUCUUAAUGUUGUUGCUUCUAUGGUUAUCUUAACAGUACUUCAUGUGCCUUGGAACUUAAGGCCAAUUCUCGUACCGAAGACACAUUUAUCUAAAUUUGUGAAAUUAUUAAAAUAAAAGAUGCGAAUGAAAAUUUUGGAGCCUUCUUUUGUUCCAUAUUCUAGUCGUUGAUUUAUGGUGCCUAAGAAAAAAGGAUCCUUACGUUUUAUUCAAGAUAUGCCACCAAUGAAUGUAGUAACUAUAAGAAAUGUAAAUAUAGGACCUUUAGUAGACAAGUUUGUAGAAGAGUUUGGAGGAAGGGCAAUUUAUUCAAUAGGUGAUUUAUAUUCGUGUUAUGAUCAAUUUCAACUUACGCAUAGGAGUAGAGAUCUAACAACAAUAAGAAUGCCACUUGGAUUACUUAAAAUAUGUACUCUCCUUCAAGGUACUACUAACUCAGUUGCACAUAUGAUGAAUGAGAUGAACAAGGUAUUAAGAGACUUCAUUCUUGAAAAAACUAUGCCCUUUUUAGAUGAUUUUCCUAUCAAAGGAUGUAAAGAAGGAAAAAAAGAUGAAACUUUAGAUGAGAGGGGAUGUCACAAAUAUGUUGUUGAUCAUACACAAGAUUGUGAAAAGAUUUUAACUCGACUUGAAGAUGUUCAUCUUACACUUUCAGGAGCAAAAUCUAUAUUUGGAAUACAGAAAGUUCUUAUUGUUGGAUAUUUGUAUAGAUUCUAUGGGAGAAAGCCAGAUAAAAGCAAAGUUAAUGCAAUUGGAAGGAUGAAGGAUUCAUGUGUCUCUUUAACAGAAGUACGUAGGUUUUUAGGAGCUUGUAUAUUUUAUCGUAUAUGGAUUCUUCAUUAUGCUCAUGUAGGAGAUCUAUUGUAUGAAUUAUUACAUAAGACUUAUCAAUUUAAAUGGGAAAGAAAGCAUACAGAAGCAAUAUAGAAGCUAAAGAUGUUAUUGAUGACACCUCCAAUUUUAAGAAAAAUUGAUUAUAACUGUAAUAGACAAGUAAUUCUUACUAUGGAUACUAGUCCUAUUGCUAUUGGAUGGACUGUGGAUCAAAAUGAUUUAAGUGGAAAUAGAUUUGCACUUCGAUUUAGAGCUAAAGUUUUAAGUACUCGUCAAUGUAUAUAUUUGCAAGUCAAAAGAGAACUUUGGAAAGUUAUUUCGGCUAUGAAAGUUGAAAGGGAUUAUUUGAUUGGUACAAUAGUAGUAAUUGAAAUGGAUUGCUUGCCAUUGCUUGAAAUGUUUACUAAUUGUUCAACGCCAGAUAUUGCAAUGUUAAGAUGGAUUUCUUAUAUUAAGUCAUUAAAUCUGGAAUUUAAGCAUGUUGCUAGAAAGGACAAUUUAGUAGCAGACAUACUAUCUCGAACAAGAUAUGAAAGAGAAGAUGAAAUGGUUGAAGACAUUGAUGGUGUUGGGUCAAAAUUCUAUUCAGUAUCAAAUCUUAACAAAGAAGACAAGCUAUUUCUUGAAUAAAAUUAUGAACAAGAAUUAUUGGAUAUUGGUCAUUACUUGAAUACCUUGACUAAGCAAGUAAAAUUUGGUCUACAGAAAAAUUUAAACAAAUAAGAAAAAAAGUAUAUGGAUUUUUGCUUCAAAAAGGAUUCUUAUGGAAGAGACUAAAGAAAAGAAUUGGAAUGCCACUAAGAGUGAUAGGCAAUAAAGAAGAGAAAAAAAAAUUAUUAAAGGGGUUUCAUGAUAGUUUAUGGGCGAGAUAUAGAGGAAUUUGGGCUACUUUUGCUAAACUUAAGGAACAAUAUUGGUCAAGUAAUAUGUAUCGAGAUGUGCUCUUAUUUGUAGAAUCAUGUGAAAUUUGUCAAGCGUAUUCUAAUAUACGACAUUAAGAUGGUCUUCAUCUUACAUAUCUUCUAGCUAUUCAUUUUAAAUGGAUUGUUGAUUUGGUUAUUAUACCAAUCGGGUUAUGGCAAAUGAGAUAUUUGAUCUUAGCUCGUGAAGAUUUAUCAAAUCAAAUAGAAAGAAGAGCAUUGAGAACAAAAACUAUGGAAGGAAUUUGUAGAUUUUUGCUUGAAGAUGUUACUUACCACUAUAGAUGUGUAGGAAAAAUCACUGCAAAUCGUGGAGAAAUAAAUGUACAAGAAGCUCAUGAAUUCUUUGAAAGAUAUAAAAUUAAACUAUCACUCACUACUUCUUAUAAUCCUGAAGGAAAUACAAAAAGUGAAUGUGGUCACCUACCAAUUGUGAAAGCAUUAGUUAAAGCUUAUAAUGGAAAGGUUAGAGAAUGGCCACGACUUUUGUCACUUGUAUUAUGGACUGAUUAAACAACUUAUAGCUCAAUAACAGGAUAUAUGCCUAUUGCGCUUAUGAUAGGCCAAAAACCAAUUAUGCCAAUUGAAGAAAAAGUACCUACUUGAAGUGUGCUACCAUGAGAAGAUGGAUUGACAAGAGAAGAACUUCUAGCUAUGAGAAUUCAAAAAUUAGAGCAAAGAUGAGAAGAUGUGCAAAUAGCAUUAGAAAGGUUAAAAAGAGCGAGGUUACAAAAUAAGACAUGAUUUGAUAAGAAGCAUCGAUUGAGGCCUAAAGCAAUUGAAGAAGGUGAUUGAGUUUUGGUCUAUCAUAGUAGCUUGGACAAUCAACAUAGUGCUUUAAGGAAGUUUUUUAAACGAUGGUUUGGACCAUAUGUGGUAAUAAUUCUUCAUGAUAAUGGAACUUACUCAUUGCGGGAGUUAGAUGGAACAAGGUUAAAAAUACCAAUUACAAAGAAGCGAAUAAAAAUAUUUAAACAAAGAUAUACAAAAAUAAAUUUAAAAGACCUUGGUGAAGAUAUAGAUUUUUCUCAACAGGAAGAUGAAUUUGACAUGGAUAGCAAUAAUGAUGAAGAGGAUUUGGACGAAGACUUGGAGAACGUACUAUGAAUCAAACAACAACUAGAUUAUUUGGUGCAUAUCAGAGGAUGCAUAGGUUCAAAGAGGGUGGAUGUCGUGUUGUAACAUGACUAUAUGGUAAAAAUAUAAAUAAAAAAGAUAUUAUUAAUAUUUAGUCAUCUUGGAUGUUAGAAAUAGUGGCUAAUUCCAGUGCCAAUAUUUAGGAUCAAUUAAUGUCACCCCAUCGACGUCAUCAAAUCAAGUACCUUCCAUACCAAGAAGAUAACCAAGAUCAUUUUCUAAUCCUACAUGGAACAAGCCUAGUAGGUAUAUACCAGUGGAAACAUCUAAUAUACAUGAUAGGGGUGCAAGAAGACCACUUCGUUGUUUUCAUUGCAGACAGGUUGGUCAUUAUGCCAAUGAAUGUUCCAAUCCCAAAACUAGUGAUGAUUACGCAUCAGUGUGUAGGAAUUGCGAGCAUACAAGACAUACUUAUCAACAAUGUAAUAUUUCAUCCAAUUUCAAUAAACGGGAUCAACAGAUCCAAAGUCAAGGAAAAAUUGAGGAGAUAAAUUAAGGUCUUUAAGAUUCUCUGAUAAAUCAGGUGGAAUGAAUCCGAGCCAUUCUUACCAAGAGUUGGCAAAAGGAGAAAGGACCAAUUCAAUAUUUGGAUGAGUUUGAUGUGAAGGGCCAAUUUGACCUAAUUAUGAAGACAUUCAAUUUCGGUCCUGAUAUGGAUCUCUUACCUAGUAUGAGACCUGACUUGGUUGGGCAAUCCAAUGAGGUCCUGAAUACGGAGGCUUCAGUUUCAUUUCAAGCUGUUCCAUUUUCUAUGCCGUUUUGGAAAAAACGUCCUUUUCUUGGAAAGAUCCUCUUAGAGAUAGGAAUUCUGGGGAAGCGCCAUCGGUUGUUCCAAUUCGGAAUCUAGGACGGAAGAAAAUGGGACCACACAGAGUUAAAAGGGAAGAGAGGAUAAGAAAAGGGGCAUUCAAGAGAUUGGGAUUUUGGGGGUCAGAGAACUGGCUUCAAGCUCCUCCAAAAGGUAUAGAAUUGGGUUCAUAGGAUUUGGGAGAACUUUGGCAAUCGUUGCUGAAAGUCAGUGUUUGUAUUGGUUAUUUGGCGUGGUAAGUCGAGGACUUCUAGGCGGCGGUCAAGAUACAUCAGUGUGGAUUUACAAUGUUUUCUUGCAAUCUGUAAGUUAGAUUGGAUUGAAACUUCUUGAGCAUUUAGAAGGCUUGCAAAGACACUAGUGGUAGAAGUUUACAACAAUCGGAGGAUCAAAUUGAGAAUUACAGCUUGCCGAAGCUUGUUGUCUAGGAUUAAGAUUUAAAAAAUAAAAAUAAAAAUAAAAAAAUAAAAAAAAAUAAAACUAAAAAAUAACAAAAGACUUGUACUUAUUAUAUCUUGAAGUUAUUAAAAAUAGUAUUUCUAAGCAUUUUGUAAUGGAAUUAAGCUUUUAUAUUGAAAUGCAAAAUAGUUUAUAUUUGGAUGGUUAAAAUCCACUAACCUAUCCUGAUAUUUAUAAAAUAUUAUUUUAUCUUCUACACCCAGACGUCCGGUGCAUUCUCAAGCAAGAUAGCACUUAAUACAAAACUGUAUAAUUAGAAAUGGGAACAGAUGAUAAACUUCAUCUAGUAGCUUUUUAUUCCAAAAAAAUUUUAGCAGCCAAGAUUAACUAUGAAAUCCACAACAAAGCUUCUUGCAUUCAUGGAUUCAUUUCAAGAAUGGCAUCAUCAUGUAGAAGGCACUUUUAAUCUAAUCACCAUAUAUACAGACCACAAGAAUCGCAAAUGUUUUGAAUUGUCGCCAAACUCAUUGAAGCAUGUCUUUAUCAAGAUUUGAUUUUAAGUUCACGUAUCAAUCCGAAAAAUAAUAAGAUUUGUCAAAUGCCUUUUUUAGAUAUUUUUAUCUUAUAUCAAAUGAAAGAGAUGUAUCUUUUGAUCAACAAAGAAUGAUUUUUUUGAAGCCAAAGCAUUUUCAUCUUUGAGUAAUGAAAUCAACAUUGAUUAUUAAUUCAAUCCUUGUAAAACAAAUCCUAUCAAGUAUGUUUUUUGAUCUUUUUAUUUAUAGUAUCAAGAAUCCUCUUCUAAGUCAUAAAAUACUUUUAAAUUUGAGUUCAAAAACAACCUACUCUAUUUUGAAGGUUCUACAAGCACGUCAUGACUUUCCUACAAUAAAAUAUUUUGGAUACAACGAGACAUUAGAGCUUAUAUCUAGAGAUUUAUGGUGGCUAUAAAUGUAAAUAGAUUUGAAAGACUUUGUUCACUUAUGUGACAUUUGUUUAAGAUCAAAAACUCCCGAUCAUUGAUAUUACAAACUUCUUCAACUAUUAUCCAUUCUAAAACAAUUAUAGUCUAUUGUUUCUAUGGAUUUCAUCAUGGUGUCAUAUGGUGUGAUUUGCUAUUUGGGAAUAUACUGGGUAUCUAGCUAUACAGAAUGUAACUUAAACCUUUAUAUGAAUCUUGUCUUAGUCUCCCAAAACUCCUUUAUUUUCCUUUAUUUUGCAUAAAACUCAAAAUAUAACAAAACUCCUUCAAAACAUAUUUCUCUCGUGAAGGAUUUUCUUGUCUUGAACUUUAGAAAAUCAUAACUCUUCAUCUAACUAUUCAGUUUGUCUUAAAUUUAAAAUAUAUGUAAAAUUCACCAUUAAAUUUUAUCACAAAAAAAAACCAACUGCAAAUUCACUCUCAAUCUUUUGGUAUCUAAGAAAUCCUAGCAGAUGUUCUACAUCCUAAUUUAUAAGUACCUAAACACUAUUUUCUUAAUAUCUCAAGAAUUCAAUACUCAAAUAUUAUAAAACUUAUGCUUAAAGUUUAUUAAUAUAAAAUUACACAUUUUUUAAAAUUUUGAGCCAAAACCUUGUCAAAUUGCUUAAGAUAUAUCUCAAGAGACAACCACUAGCAAAUCAGGUUACUUACUACCCUUAGAUUGCAUGCACUGACUUCAAAAUCCAAUAAUUCCUUCACUUCAAUUUGGAAUCCAAUAAGUAGUAUAUAAAAAGUGUAGUUGCAAAAGUGUUCUCUUGAGUUGCAAUCGCCGAUCUUCAAUUGUUGUCUGUACCCAUGCGUUAUGCCAAAAAGAAUAACAGUAGCUCCUAAAUCAUCACCUUAACUUUGAGCGCUUGUAUCUCCUUCAUAUAAACUCCAAACCAUAUAGAACUUGUACCAAAAUCAUAGCCAAAAAUCUAAAUCUUUUGACCUUAGCCUUCAAAACUCAAAUGCCACAAAAAAAUAACUCUAAUCUCUAAUAUGGCCUCUGGCAGCCUCCUCAAAGCCUAUUGGUCAUGAUUUUUGAUCAAUAGGAAUGGAGAUUUUCAUUAUUCAUCUCCAUUCAUCUAUAUUGGUGCCCUAAUUACUCCUUUUGCUACCAAAAUCCUUCUUCAAUCUUUUUUCUUAUAAGAUUUACAUAAUUUAUGCUCUAAAUUCCAAAUAAAAGAACCAAAAGAAAUUUUGAAAGGUCACCAAUGUCUAACAAAGGUGACUCUAAAUAUUUAGAAGUUACUAUCAACCAAAACCAAUCUUAAAAGCCACUAUUAAAAAGAAAUUAAAAUUAUAUAAAUUCUAUAGUAAUUUUUUUAAACAACCUCUUUUCAAGGUAAUAAUCAAAUUAUAUUCUACAACCAAUUAAAAUCUACUAAUAUAGCUCUCACCAUAUUACUUAGUAAAUUAUAUAUUAAGUAUAUAAUUAUAUUAUUUUUAUAUAAUAGACGAACCACAACACGACAACAAAUCUUCCAAUCUAAGGUUCUUUUGAUUCUAUAUUUGUAAUAGUAGAUCGUUUUAUCAAGAAGGCAUAUUUUGUACUAUAUACUAAAUCUAUCAUAAGUGAAGAAAUAUCUGCACUCUUUUUUGACAACAUCUAUUGCUAUCAUGGAUUAGCGAAGGAUAUCAUAUCAGAUAAGGGAACUCAAUUUGUAUCAAGAUUUUGGCGGACUCUUUUUAAGAUUCUAAAAGUGGAUAUAAAACUAUAUUUGGCAUUCCAACUUAAAAUUGAUGGACAAACAAAUAUAUUAAUCAAGUUUUGGAGCAGUAUUUAAGAUGUACCAUCAAUUAUCAACAAGAUGAUUGGACAACUCUUUUGCCAUUAGCAGCAUUUGUUUAUAAUAACACAAUACAUUCUUCUACAAAAUAAACACCUUUAUUUGCCUAUUGUGGUUAUCAUCUACGACUUGAUACUUUUGACUUUUCAAAAGCUGAUAAUCUUAUGAUGGAAGAUUUGGCAAAUGAUUUAUCAAAGCUACAUAUAAUAAUAAAGGCAUAAUUAAAAGAAGCUCAAGAACAAUAAAAGAUCAAUGCGGAUGUCUAUUGAAAGAAAUAACUACCAUUUCAUAUGGAUGACAAAGUAUGGUUACUUCAUCGCAAUAUCAUGUCUACUCGUCCUUGUGACAAAUAAGACUAUCAUAGGCUCUGACCAUUUUGUAUUUUUACACAAAUCAAUCUAGUUUCAUAUCAUUCACACUUAUUAAAAUCAAUGAAAAUCCAUCUAGUAUUCUACAUAUCUCUUCUUGCACCAUAGAAGUUAGUAGACAUAACAAGACAAAAACAAGUUCUACCUCCUCAUAUAGAAGUAGACAACAAUGAAGAAUUUGAAGUAGAAGAAGUCUUAGACUUAAGGCGAUGCCAAAAUAAGUUAGAAUAUGUUGUUUAUUAUUGUAGAUACAAUAUUAGUGAACAUACAUAGUAACCAACAAAGAAUCUUGUAAAUACAAUAAAGAAGGUGGAGGCUUUUCAUCAAUGACAUCCAUCAAAAUCAAACUGAAGACCUUUUGUAUAAAAGAAAUAAGAUUUGUGCAAGAUAACAUUCUACUUUCAAUCUUUUUUUAUAAUUUCUUUGUAUUUAUGAUGCUAAAGAAAUGAAGAAUUAACAACUAGCAAAUUUGACUGAAGAACCUUUAUUUACUAAAUUACAAGAUGAAACAUUAUAAUUAUCAUAACCUUUAAGACAAUCCAAUUGAGAUGAAGAUCCUCAAGAAUAAGAUGUUUUUUUUAAAUAGAUGACAAUAUACAAUGCAUUUUUGGUAUCACAUCUUUGGAAGAGAUUUCCGAUGUUUGUUAAUUUUAUUAGAGAUAGGAAUAAUUCUUGAUGGUGUUUUAAAUAUUUUAUUUAAAAGAAGUUAUGAAGGCCUCAUUAAUGAUCAAAUAAUAGGAUGGGCUUCUUGCCCUUGUAUGAGAUAUUAUCAAUGGUUGAAAGGCCCUAUCAACCAUCUUCAAAGAGAAUAAAGAUUUGAGUAUGUCCCCAAUAGAAUUUGUUGUACUAUAGAUUUUUUCAACAUAUGUUGAUUGCUCCAUAUGGAACUUAUUCCUAAAAAAGAGAGUAAUAUCAUAGAUAUAUACAUGUAAGCCUGUAAUUACCUGUAUAAAUAGGUAGAAGUAAAUAAAAGUAGAUAAAAAUAACUUAAUUCUAUAAUAUCUUCAAAGAAAGCUUUUUAGAAGCUUUAUAGAUAUUACUUUGACUUUAUAGGUAUUCAUUGUUGACUUUUAGGUUAAAAACUUGGUCAAAAAAUUAAUCAUAUGCCACACAUGUUUGUAGCUUGAAGAAGAAGUUAAUUAUGUGGUGAAUAUAUAGAAAAGCUUGUCUUGUAAGUCAAGGCAUGUGUCCUAUAAAGUCAAUACAUAUUAGAGGUCCUAUAGAACAUGGCCACGUAACCUCUAGUUAGAUAGUAUAUAUAGAGACAAGAGUGAAGCCUUCUUCACUCUUAUCAACUCCUUUCUUACUUCUACUUUACUUUUAAAAGUCUCAAGUUUUCUUGUCUUUUAGUAAUAAGCCAUUCCAGUUUCUUUUUAUUAUACAUGCUUCCUUAUUUUUAUUUUGUCAUUUUUUCUUUGACACAGAUUUCAUUCAUUUAUAUCUCAUCUUUUAGUUCAUGUCCUUCACAAUAGUAUAUAUAGAAGCUAGAAAGAAGCCUUCUUCACUCUUAUCAAUACCUUUUUAAUUCUUAGUCUUAUUUGAAGCCUUCUAGUCUUCUUGUUUUUUUCAAUAGCCAUUUUAGUUUAGUAUUAUAUCAUCAUUGAGUUAUUAUUUAGUCUUUUUGACUGACUCAAGAGUUUUUUGAUCUUUUAAUUAUUUAAGAUUCAUAUCCUUGAUACUAAUGAACAAUAUAAGAAAGAUUUUUAAGUAGUUAAUUUCUUUUUUUUCUUCAAAAUUUUUAGCCACUAUAUAGAUUUUUAAUUUUUUAGAUUUAUUCUUAAGAUUAGACCUUUCAUAUAGAUAGAUCUAAAAGUAAUCAAGUUUUAUUUUCAAAAAUAGAAUCUAUUUUUUAUCAAAUAGCAUCUUUUUAUUGUAAUUUUUAAAAAGCCUUUGAAUAUUAUUUAGACUCAAUUGCACAUGUUGUAUUGAAUAAUAUUUGGUAUUAGAUUAUCUUGUUUUGAUUGGAGUUCAAUAGAGCUCUAUGAAAGCAUCAAGUUGCUUAAGUUCAGUAUUACUAUUUGUGAUUAAGAAAUAAGAUAUGGAAUUGCUAGUGUUGGUUGAUAAUUUAGGUUAUUGGAUUCAUUAUGCAAGUAAUUCUUGUAGUUGUAUUGUUAUUUUAUUCUUUAUUGGAAUGAUAUAUAUUACAAAGAAUACUUCUAAGUUAUUAAAGAUUGUAGUAUGUAGUUAUAGUAAUUCAAAGUUAAUUUAUUUUUUGUCAAAGAUGAUAUUGUAGCUUAUGUGUAUCUAAUUUGUAAGCAAGUUGAAUACUUGCUAUGCUUAGUUUUUGUUGUUAUAGCCUAUGAAGUAACAUUGGAUAAUUUUUCUCUAUAGUUUAAAGUACUAUUCUUUUAGUAUAUAUAAUUGAGCUAUGAAUUCCAAAAUAAAGAUGUACUCUAUCAAAGUUUUUUAAUUCAAGUACUUGUACUCUAGUAUAAUUUUAUUUUUUGUCUUUGUUAGACUAAUGUGAACCAAGUAAUUGGCAUUGUUAAGUAAUUUUUUCUAAAGAAAGUAUUUGUACUUGUACAUAGCUACCAUGGAUUUAGCUUUUUUAAUAAUGGUUCUAUUGUACCAUUCAUUAACGCCAUUUUGUUGUAGAAUUCAAGCCAUAAUGAAUUUUCAUUGUAUUCUAUAGAUGAAUAGGUGGUUGAUGAAUGUGAUAGAGAGAUAUUCUAUCACAAUCUAUUCUAAAGCAACAAAUAUGAUUUUAGGUUUUAGUUUCUACUCAAGGUUAAAAUUAUCAAAAUUUUAGCAAUAUUUUUGUCUUAUGCCAAAUAAAAUAUAUCUAAUUUUUUUGAAGUAAUCAUUUGAGAAGGCCACAUAGUAUCUAGAAUCAUUUAGUAAUAAAUAUUUUAUUGAACUAAUUAAAUUAAAAUAGAUUAACUUAAGUACUUCAUUUUUUUGGUUUUUUUAUGGAUUUAAAAAGCUGUUUUAAUAUUAUCUUUUUAAAAAAUAAUUUAUAAAUAUGGAUUUUAGAAGCAAGAAUUGUAAGAGUCUUGUGAUUUUUUGUAUUUAUAACAAGUAUUGUAACUUUGUAUAAUAUAGAUGGCUAAAUCUCUUGUGCCAUGUAUUUAAGUCUUCUUUGGUAAAAAUAGUGUUGAUUAAAUCCAUAAGAUUGAUGUAGUUGUUAUUUUUGAAUAAGCUAGAAUUAAUUUUUAUAUUUUCUAUUGUCAAAAAAAUUAUAUUAUAUAAAUUUUAAGAGAUUAAGCAUUAUUUAUAUUUAAAUACUAUAAUAGGUCUAUCAUCAAUUAAUGAUCCUAUAAAAAUCAUAUUUUUCUAUAAUAAAAAUACAUAAAAAAUAUUAUAAACCUUUAUUAAUCUCAAAUUAAUUUUUAGACUAGAAGAUCCAAUAAUAUCAAUUUUAUGAAUCUUUAUGUUUAUGGUCUUUAUGUUUCUAUUUUGAAGGUUGUAUAUCUAUCAAUUCUAGUUAAGUUAUUUUUUGUAAACUGCUUUGAAGCUCUUGAAUCCAUGUAUCAAUAAUGUAUCAUGGAUAUACAUAUUUAUUUUAAUAAUUAUUUAUAUAAUUAGAUAGAAGUAAAUAAAUAUAAAUUUAUAUCAUAAUAUCUUCGAGAAAAGCGUCAUAGAUGAAAUUUUGACUUUAUACAUGUUUAUAGUUGAUUGAUAGGUUAAAAACUUGAUAAAUAAGCUAACCAUGUUCUACAUGUCUUAGUAACUUAUAGAACAAGAUAGCUAUGUGGCAUAUAUAUAGAUAACUUGUCUUGUAAGUUAAGAUAUGUAUAUAGUAAAGUCAAUACAUGUUGGAAGUCAUAAAGAAGAUUGUCAUAUAGUUUCUAGUUAGAGAGUAUAUAUGGAGGCAAAAAUGAAGCCUUUUUUACUCUUGUAAAUGCCUAUUUAGUCUUUAGUCUUAUUUCAAGACCUUUUAAUCUUCUUGUCUUUAGCAAUAGUCAUUUCAAUUUAAUACUAUAUCAUCUUUGAGUAAUUUUUUAGUCCUUUUAAAUGAUACAAGAAUAUAUUAAAGAUUUCUUUCUUUGAGAUUGAUGUCUUUGGUAAUUUGACAAGACUAUUAAUUCAUUAUUCUUGUAUUAUUUUAAAAUUUAGUAGAUUAUUCUACUUCUAUUAUUUUAUUUUGAAGGUUAUAAAUUAUCUACCUUUAAACAUUUUUUUUUUUUUUCUAAUAUAAAUAUUUUUCUUAAAAAAAUCAGAUUAUCCUUCUUUGAAGAAAUUUUCAUUUGAUAUUAGAGGUUACAAAUUACCUUCCUAUAAUUUGACUUGUGGAUUUAUUAAGUUAUUUGAAAUAGAAGAAAAAAUCAUGGAUUCUAUAUUGAAGGAAGUAAGUAGAUUGACCUUAUAACCACAUUCAAGAAUUUUUGCUUCUACAAGUACAAUAGAGACAAAGAUUAAUAUAUCUAAGAAGUUUGAUAGAACAAGAUCAAAAAUUUUAGAAUUUUUGCAAUAAAUCAAGCUCUAGCCAAGUUUACAUUUCUUUCAAUAUCUUGAUGGAUUCUAUCUAGAAAUAUUCUCUUUUGGUUUAUAUCUUUAAUGGAAUAGGAUUCAUGAUUCUUUUAUGAUUUGAAUUCAUCCUUAGAAGUUUUUGUGGCUAUAUUCAAAGAAAGUAAUUGAAAAAGAAUAACAAAAACUAAGCUCUUAUUUUUAAAACAAGGAUCAUGAUUAGCCAACAUAUAUGCUAUUGAAUUCCAAAACCUCUCUUGUGACAUGGAUUAGAAUGAAAAAGCUCUUAUCAAUCAAUUUUGAUAUGGAUAAAAAGAUAAUAUCAAAGAGUUAUUUUUAACAAAUACUAUUUGAUUAACUUCAAAAUUUUUACACACAUUCACAACUAGUAUAUCAACACACAACCCAAAAUUUCUAAUAUCCAAUUGGAUUAUCUUGCAUUUCUUUUAAUUGAUAAGUGUAAUUAAUUUCAUCUUUUUUAUGCUUCUUUCUUACUAAGAUAUUAAAAAAUAUGCAAAUUUUGAAUUGAUAUCAACGGUUUGAUUAUUAAUUAUUGAAGUUCUAUUUUGCUAUAGGAUUUGAUUUAUAAUUUAUCUAUGAUUUGAUUAAAAUUAGGGCUUAAGAUUAGGUCUAAGUUUUUAUUAAGAUUAGGAUUUUUUUAGAAUUUGAUUUAAAACUUGACUAACAGUUGAUUUAAAUUUUUCUAAGAUUUAUUUAGGAUUUAGAAUUUUAUUAAAAUUUUAUUAAGAUUUGAUCUAAUAUUUGAUUAAGAUUCAAUUACGAUUUUUAUUUUUAAUUUUUAAAAAUAUUCUUUAUUAUUUUUCUAAAGAUUUUUAUUUCUAGUAUUUAAAAAAAUAUUAUUGUUAUUUCUUUAAAGACUUGAUUUUGUAUUUCUUUAAGAUUUCUUGUCAUUUUUUUUGAAAUUAAUUUAAUACUCUUUUGUAUUUCUUUUAUAACUUCUUCUAAAUUUAUUUUGAAUUAAUCAAAGUUUGAUUAAGAUUAUUAAAUUUUUUUUUAAGUUUAUUUAAGAUUCUAUUAGACUUAAUAGAAUUGGUGUUGCAUUUCUACUUACCUUCCACAACUAAGUGCCUAAUGCAUUCUCAAGAAAGAACACAUGUAAUACAACAAUGAUAUGUUUUAAAUCUUUUUUGAAGCAAGAAAAGAUUCAAUGUCAUCAAGAGGAUUUGUGCUUAUAUUAUAGAAAAGUAAAACUUAUUGUUCAAUAUUAUCCAAAGAAAUAAUGCAAUCACAAAAUGAAGAGCUUGGUUGACAAAAUAGAUGAUGUAUUAAAAAAUAAAUUUCUCUACCUACAAUAGAAACUACAUAAUUAGAAUCUUCUAUAAUUCCUAAUAAAGGUCCUAUUCUCUCUUCAAUUCCUUCACCUUAUUUUAUAAUAAAAGUUUAUUUAGGACCAAAAAUUCACAAAGUCUUAGCCUUAUUAGAUUCAAGAAUCUUAACAUGUUUUAUAGACAAAGAUUUUAUUAAAAAAAACAAGAGAUAUUGUUAGUCAAGAAAAUUAAAUCCAUACAUUUAAGAAUCAUAGAUGGUCAUUUGAUAACUUUUGGAGAUGUUACCCAUAGGACUAUUCUUUUAGAUGUAGUAAUUAAAGAUCAUAAUAGCAUAGUAAUAUUUAAUGUGAUAAGAUCUCCAUCAAAUUUAUUUAUUUUAGGAUUAUUUUGGUUAAAAAAAUAUAGUCCUCAAAUAAAUUAGAUUUUUCAUAAUCUAAAAUUUUCUUAUAAUUUGAUCCAAAAUUUUGUUAGUUAAGUAAAAAUACAUAAGCCUCGUACAUCCAAACCUUUAUUGGUAGGAAAAAAAAGCUUUCAUUAUUGCAAAAAAAGAAGGAUCUUCUUUUUUUCUAUAUGCUACAUGUAUUUUUGAUGAUGAAAAGAUAUCAAGUCAUAUUCUUAAUCAAUAUCAAGAUUUCAAGGAUGUUUUUUUUUAAAAAAAAAUAUAGAUAUUCUUUCAAAGCAUUGAUCCUAUAAUUACUCAAUUAAUUUGUAAGAAAGGGCUCAACUACCAUUUGGACCACCCUAUAAGUUAUUACAAAAUGAAUUGACUGUAAUAAAAGAAUACAUUGAGGAAAACUUAGAUAGGAACUUUGUAUGCUAUUUGAAAUCUUCAACAAGAGUCCUAUCUUAUUUGUAAAGAAAAAGAAUGGGUUAUUGUGGAUGUGCAUAGAUUGUCAAGAACUUAACAAAAUGACCAUGAAGAAUAUGUAUUGAAAUAAGACUAGAAUAUUUCUAAGAUCUAAGAUCCUUCUAAUCUAUAGUAAUAUAAAUUUUGUUACUAUAUAAGACAACGUAGAUCAAAAGAAAACUAAAUAGAUUUAAACAAAAUAGAACAUGAAAGGCAAAAUAAAGCAUAAGAGAAUAGAAUAGAAUUAAAUAAAAAAAUAUAAAACUAAACUUUACUACAAGAAAAGAAUCAAAGUCAUACCUGAUCAAAUACUUGAUCAAAUAGCUCUAAUUAGUCUUAUUUAAACUUUUUUCAACCAUCCUAAAAAAUUUUAGAAUAUUUUUAAUAAUAGGCUCUAUCUAAAUAAAUAUCUUAAGUCUUUUUUAGAAUAUUUCAUAGUAGAUUCUAUGUAAACCAUCAACUUAGUCUCAAUUGGUGGUAGUUAUUUGCAUAUUACUUCUCUUGUUUUUGUAUAAUAAGGAGGCAAUAUCGUGCCUCCUAUAAGAUCAUUAUAAGAUGUUGUAUAAACUCUUUUGUUGUGAGGUUGUUAUUAUCAAUAGAACAAUGAAAAGUUGCUAGCGUAAUUGGAUACUAACCAAUGUUAAUGAAGAAUGGUGAAUGAUUGAUACUUUUUUAAAUAUUAUUAUUGUAAGUAAAUUUUAAGAGUAUUAAAUAUUUAUCUUUUUUAUUAUGAUGAAUUACCAUAAAUGUCCAUAGCAUAUUCUUUAAAAUUUAAUUUAUAUGCUUUAUUUUUUUAUUUGUUUGAGGAUAAAAGGCCUUCGACAUGGCAAGUUGUAUGCCUAGUAGCUUAAACAAAGCCUGCCAAAAACUUCCUGUGAAGCAUAGAUCUUGAUUUGAAAUGAUAAUACAAGGUAAUUUAAGGUAACAAAAGUUAGUAUUGAAGAAGACUCGUAUAAAUACUAAACCAUUAAUAUCAGAGCAUAUCAUAGCCAAGUGAAGUUGCUUUGAGCGUUGAUCCUUAAAAGCAAUAACUGCAGUUGGAUUGUAAGGUAUCUAUAACAAACAUAUAAUGAAAUCCAUAGUCACUUACUUCCAAUGUAUUGCAGGUAGUAGAAUUGGCUGCAAUAGUCCAAAAGAUAUUAUAUUGUAUGUUUUUUUUAUAUUGGCAUGAUUCGCAAGAGAGUACAAAAGUUUAAACACCACGAUCCAAAUUUAUUCAAAUUCAUAUCCUUAAGUUUUGUUCUAGAGUCUUUUCACACCUUAGAUGUCUAGAUAUUGAAAUGUCAUAUCUUUCUUGAAGUAUGCACAUCCAAAAUAUUACAUUGUUAGGUACAUAGAUUUACUUCUUGAAAUAGAGCAAGCUAUCAUUGAGAUGGUAAUCUUCAUACUGUACAUUGUUCAUCUUUAGCCAAUUAAUAAUCAUCUUAAAAUAAGCAUUUCAAUGCAUAGCUUCUUUCCAUUUUGUUCUUAUAGUUAGAUUUAAAAUAAGACUAAUGUAGAAUAGAUAUUAGUUCAUUUUUGUAAGAUAUUAGUAAAAUAAACUAAUAAUCCAUAGAAUAGUCAGUUUAAGAGGACGGAUGGUUGAUUUAGUUAUUCAAAGCAGUUAAUUAUAAGAUUACGAUUAGGAUCUAGAAAUCAAUAGCAAUUAUAUAGGAGUUGUAGAAGUUUGUUGGGGGCCAGACUAUAAUAGUCAUGAGUCGGGGUUAAGCUUGGUACUUCCUCUUUGGUUUUUUUUUUUUUUUUUUUUUUUUUUUUUUUGUUGAAGAAUAAUGGAUAGUUUUUGAAUACUGAGAAGUGAGUCUGUGGAAUAAAUCAGAGAUUGAUUUAUGAGUUAUUGAUUAUGUAAUUGGAGUACUGAGUGAUUGAAUUAUAUGAAAAGUUAUUGGAAGAUUGAUUAUGGAUGGAAGAUUAUGAUUGUUGUUUAUUGAGAGUUGUGUUUGUGUGUUUUGACAGAGGAAGUCUGUGAUUACAGGAAUCCUAUGAAUUCAGAUUGGUUGGUAUGAAGUCUGUUAUUUCUUAUGUUGGAUGGAAUUUAUUGAGUUUUGAGCGGUCUUUUGAGAGUACAGGGUUGCACAUUGUGGUUAUUAGUUGAUGAAGGAGUAUUGUUACUGGGAGAAAGCAUUGUAGUAUUUCUUACUCUUUUAGUGGUUCGGAAUACAAUUAAUUAUGUGACCCUAACAAGUAAAACUCAUGUACUUAAUCUUUCCCUGUGUUCAAAUUUCUCUAUACAGGUUUAUUCUCGAAAGAAUUGUAAAAUAAGUAAAACGAUAAUCACAAUUAAUUAUAAUAGUAAUUUUUGCCUUAUCUUCUAAUUUAAGUUUUAAGUUAGAUCUGUAUGACUAAGUGUCUAAUAUGAUCUAUUGUCACCUUUACUUAUAUUUAAAUUCAAUGUCAAAAAACUAUAAUUUUUUUUUCAAUGAUAAUGUUGUGAUUUCAUAAUUUUUAGAUGCAAAUUGUAUAGUAAGGGCUGAUGGUCAAUCUAAACAAUCAUUCAUUUUUUUAAUAAAUAGUAUUGUCACACCUUUGUGGCAUAUAUAAUUAUUAAUUAUUCUCAAUCACAUGUAGAGUAAUUGAGCUUUAUCCUUUUAAGCUUGUGUAAUUCAUACACCAUAGAUUGAAAGCUCUUACCAAAGUUUUAUUGAAGGACCAUACUUAUAGCAAAGUCAGAAGCAUCAAUGUCAAAAGUACAAAGAAGGUUAGGAUCAUACAAUUGCAAUGUUAAAGUAGUAAUGAGCGUCUCCUUCAACUUAUCAAAGGCCCUUUUUUGCUCUAAUUUCUAUUCAAAUAUGGCAUCUUUUUCUAUUAGGCUUUUCAAUGAUGCAAUAAUAUAUACAAAUUCUAAAAUAAAAUGGUGAUAAUAUCUAACAAGGCCUAAGAAUGAGCAAAAUUCAAAAGCAUCCUUGGAGGUUGGUAAAUCUUCUACUACUUUCACCUUAUCUAUUCUUUGCAUAUGCCUUAGGAGGACACAAUAUGCUCCAAAAAAGUGACCUCUGGCUUCUAAAAUUUAUAUUUUGAUUACUUAUAAUAGAAGAAACUAUCUUAUAGCAAAUAUAGUAAUUUUCAUAAAUGUUGCUUAUGCUUGUUAAGAAUUUUAUUGUAGAAUAAAAAAUCAUUGAUGAAAAUAAUUACAUACUUGUCCAAAAGGUCCCAAAAUAAUUUGUUGAUGUAACUCAUAAAAGAGACUUAAGCAUUGGUGAGGCUAAAAGGUAAAACAAGCCAUUUAAAAUGUACAUAGUAUAUAAGAAAUACCAUCUUUUUAAUAUCCUCUUUUGUAAUAGGUAUCUGCUAAUAGCUACUCCAAAGAUCUUAUUUGCUAAAGAUGAUUGCACUUCAAAAUUGGUGAAGAAGAUCAAUCAGGCAUGAAAGUAGAUAUACAUCCUUGAUAGUUUGCUUAUUGAGCACUCAGUAGUCAAUGCAAAGCUAAAGUCUACCAUUUUUUUUGCAUAUAAAGAGUACAUGUAAUGUCUAUGAUGAUGUAUUUUUUUGAAUGAGGCCCUUCUUCAAGAGUUUAUCUAAUAUCUUUUGUAACUCUUCAAAUUCAUUUAGUAUUAAGUGAUAAAUUAGUCAACUUGUGAAUUUCGCCCUAUGUAAUAGUUUUAUUUAGAAAGAGGUACCUCAAUCAUGUAGUAUUCUAUUAAGUAAGCCAAUUAAAAAGAUGUUCGAAUAUUUACAUAUUAAUUGCUCUACUUGUUCUACUCCUUUGAUUUUCUUUUCUACUAUUGAAGUAAGAUUUAAAACCAUUGUAUAUAUUAAUUACUUAUGCUAUAUUUUUUUUUUUAUAAAGGCCAUUUCUACAAGUAAGUCUUUAGCUAUAGAUCAUUUUUCUAUCUUAUUUGAUGCAAGGUACAAAGAAUUACCUUGCAUCCACCAUCUUUGAUAAAGAUUGUUCUUAUUAGUUAAUCAACUUAUUUAUUUUCUACUUUUAGCCAUGGCAUAUUAAGGAUAAUAUUAUAUUUAAGCUUUGUAACUCUGAACUUUUUUUUAAGACAUAGAUAUCACUCAACCUCAAGGUUUCUUCUUCAUAUUUUUCAUUCAAUAUGUUCUCUCAAUCGUCUACUAAAUAUAUAUUUUUUUCUUUGAUCAUCUUGAUUUUAAUUCCAAAUCAUUUGGCAAUUCUAGUCAAGAUGGAAUUUUUUGAAGAAUUGCAAUCCAUAAGUACUUAAUGUCGUUUUUUUCUUAAUUGACUUGUUAAACCUACCAAUUGUUCCUUUUGAUAGUUAUUCAAGUCCAUGCCAUUUGUUUCUUAGAGGCAAUAGCUAUUUUCAAUACUAGUUCUUGAUGCCUUUAUUCGAAAGCUCUAUUUCAUUGUUCCAUUUUGUUAUUAACUUCAUGAGUCUCAAGAUUGUGAAUCCGCCUUGAUUAUUUGGUGUUUCAAUUUUGAUAUUUUGAACAAUCUUUGAUUUGAUGGUGUGGCUUUUGAGAAUAGAAAUAUAAUUUUUUUUCUCCAAUAUUUAUCAUCUUUGUAGUAUUAGUGAUCUUUGUAGGGUAUCAAUUUUUAUUGGCAUUGGUUAUUGUGCCAUAGUAUUGGAUAGUGGCAUAGGACUUUAUAUUAUAGAUUGUGCUCUAUGAUUUUUAAAAUCUAUUGCAUUGACCUUCUCUGCAAACUUAAUUGUCUCUUCAAAUAUUUGUGGAUCUCUAAAUUCUACCUUUAAUUGGACCUCAAGUUUCAAUCCUUGAAUAAACCAAUCUAUCAUCUCUACCUCUAAAAUAUUAUCAAUUUAGAGAUACAUAGACUUAAAUUAGGAGAUUUAAUCUUAUAUUAACUUAGAUUGUGUAAGAUUAACCAACUGAUUGCAUGCUAUCUUCUUUGUAUUGAUGAGCCAAAAUUAACUCCUAAACUCAAUCUCAAACUCAUCUCAGCCACAAAAUCUACCUUGAGCUCCAUAGCUUUGAAUUCAAUGUUGCCACCAAAUGGCUGCCACAUCUUUCAAAAAACUAGGGACAUAUAUAAUUCUUUUAGUGGUAUUUGCUCUAGAUAGUUUGACAUAUUAUCACAUACUCACGAGUCAUUGAUAUACAUCUUUUUGUCUUUAAGUCCUAGAUUAUGUAUUAGGCUUACUAAAUUUUAGCCUAGCAUAUGUCGAUUCUUUUAUCCUAAAAACUUCCAUUUGCCCUUAUAUAGUAUCUAUCUAGCCUAGAAGAUAUUUUAUUUGAGUUUCCAUGUGGAAUUGUUUUGUCGUAUCUUCCAUGCUACAAUUUCUUUUUUAAACUCUUCUACUAUAAUAAUUUCUUUCUUUCCAACUGACUUCUUAAAAAUAGCUUGUGGUAGCUCCAAAAUAGUAUCUAAUGUGACCACAACAAUUAACCUCCAAUUAAAUGAUGGCUAUCACCAUACUACUAAAGAAUAGACUAACACUUAUUUUGAUACCAAUAAAAUGAGACUAAACUAUCUCUAAGAUCUAAAAUCCUUUCAAUUUGUAGCAAUAUAAAUCUUUUCAUAAUAUAAGAUAAUAUAAAUUAAAAAAAAUUGAACAAAUAUAAAUAAAAUAGAAUAUAAAAGAUAAAAUAAAGCAAAAAAGAAUAAAAUGGAAUUGAAUAUAAAAAUUCAAAAAAAAACUUCACUAAGACAAAGGAAUCAAAGUUAUAUUUGAUUAGAUAUCCAAAUAGCCUUGGUCAAUCUUAUUUAUACUUUGUUCAACCAUCUUAGAAUUUUUUAGAAUAUUUCUAUUGGUGAGCCACAUCUAAAUAAUUAUCCUAAAUCCUUGCUAGAAUGUUUCAUAGUGGAUUCUUUAUAGACCACUAACCUAGCCUUAAUUCUAAAAAAAUUUCAAACAUGGCUCUAACUACCUAUCUCUAUGUGACAAUAAUACAAAUAUCUUAUCCAUAAUUUGUUAAAGGUAUUUCCUAUUUUUUAUUUCAAGAUGUCAUAACUAACUCAAUUAAAGAAAGAUCUAUAUAAAAAUAGAUCCACAAAGAUCAUACAAUCUAAUCUGCAUCAAAUAAAGAGAUGAAUGGAAGACUACUUUUUGAACUAGGCAUAGACAUUUUGAAUAUAAUGUCAUGCCUUUUGGACUCACAAAUGCACCAAUUACAUUUUAACAUCUCAAAAAUGAUAAUUUUUAUGAAUUUUUUUAUGAUUUUUUUUUAUUAUUUAAAUGAUAUUCUAAUCUAUUCUAAGAAUAGAAAAAAAUAUAAACUUCAUGUUCAUUGUAUAUUACAAAAACUUAGAGAUGUAAGAAUGUAUGCCAAAAUAGAAAAGUAUGUAUUCUAUACUUUUUAAGUUUACUUCUUAAGAUACAUCAUUUCCAACAAAGGACUUAUAAUGGAUUUAAAGAAAAUCCAAACUAAAAGGUUCUAAAAAUAGUUAUAGAUGUACAAUGGUUUUUGAGAUUUUCUAAUUAUUAUAAGAUCUUCAUUAAGAAUUUUUUCAAGUUGUGGCUUCUCUUAAAUACUUGAUGCAUGAAGAUAAAUUUAAGUAUAAUAAAGAAAUUGAAGCAUCUUUUAAAGCUUUAAAGAUAACAUUUAUUUCCGCACUAAUUUUAUUUUACAUCAAUUUUUUGAAAAUAUUCUUUAUGAAAAUAGACACAUCAAAUUUUACUAUAAAUAUUAUUUUGUUACAAAUAGGAGUAGAUGACAAGCUCCAUUUGAUAGCUUUUCAUUUCAAGAAAUUUUGAGCAAUAAAGAUUAACUAUGACAUUCAUGACAAAGGACUUUUUGUAAUUAUAGAUUCAUUUCAAGAAUCAUGUCAUUAUCUAGAAGGCACUUUUAAUCCAAAAAUUAUGUAUAUGAAUCACAAGAAUCUUAAAUACUUCAUGUUUGCAAGUGUUUUAAAUUAUUUUCAAGCUUAUUAUAGCAUGUCUUUAUCAAGAUUUGAUUUCAAGAUCACGUAUUAAUACAAAAAAUAAGAAAAUUUGUCAAAUAUCUUUUCUAGAAGUUCUUAUCCUAUACCAAAAAAAAAUUAUAACUUUUGAUUUACAAAGAAUAUUUUUUUCAAAGUUAAAUCAUUUUCACCUUUGAACAAUAAAAUCAAUAUUGACUAUUAAUUCAAUCUUUGUCAAGAAAAUUCAAUCAAGUAUGUUUUCUCAUCUUUUUAUUCAUGAUAUCAAGAAUAAUUCCUUUAAGUCUUAUGAUACUUUCAAGUUCAAGUUUAAGAAUAAUCUACUCUAUUUUAAGGGAUGAUUAUAUAUUCUAAAAGAUAAAGCAUAAUUAUGUGUUUUUCAAGCUUAUCAUGAUUUUUUAAAAAUUAGAUAUUUUAGAUAUAGUAAGACUUUGCAGCUAAUAUCUAAAGAUUUCUAGUAGCCUCAAAUAUAGAGGGCAGUAAAAGACUUUGUAAAAUCAUGUAAUAUUUGUUCAAAAUCAAAAACUCCUUAUCAUUGAUCUUAUGGACUUCUUCAGCCAUUACCUAUUCUAAAACAAUCAUAGUUUUCUAUUUCUAUAGAUUUCAUCAUAGACCUUUUAUUCUCACAUUCAUAUGAUUCUAUAUUCAUAAUAGUAGAUUAUUCUAUCAAGAUGGCAUAUUUUAUACUAUAUACAAAAUCUAUUAUAAGUAAAAAAAUAGCUAAGCUUUUUUUUAACAACAUCUAUUGCUAUCAUAGAUUAUCCAAAGAUAUUAUAUUGGAUAAGAAGACUUAAUUUAUAUUAAGAUUUUUGAGAAUUCUUUUUAAGAUUUUAAAGAUGGAUUAAAUGCUCUUUUGAGAUUUUUAUUUUUAAAUUGACAAGUAAAAAAAUGGAUUAAUCAAUUUUUAGAGCAAUAUUUGAAGUAUACCAUCAAUUAUCAUCAAGAUGAUUGGAAAUUUUUUUUGUCACUAGCAAAAUUUGUAUAUAAUGAUUUGAUACAUUUUUCUACUCAACAAAUAUUUUUUUUUUCUAAUUAUGAUUACCAUCAAUGACUUGAUACUUUUGACUUUUUAAAAGUCAAUAAUCUUGUAGCAGAAGAAUUGAAAAAUCAUUUGUUAGAGCUUCAAACAACAAUAAAGACAUUAUUAAAAAAAAUUCAAGAACGACAAAAGAUGAAUGUAAAUGCAUAUUGCAAGAAACAACUACAAUUCAAUAUGGAUGAAAUAUAUGAUUACUUCAUUGCAAUAUCAAGACUAUUUGUUCUUGUAACAAGUUGGAUUAUUGUAGAUUUAGACCUUUUUUUAUUUGUGAACAAGUCAAUCUUAUUGCUUUUUUAUUACAUCCAUCAAAGUCUACGAAGAUCCAUCUUGUAUUCCAUAUAUCUCUUCUUGAGCCAUAUAAGAUAGUGAAUAUCUCAAAAAGAAGACAAAUGCCACUUUCUCUUAUCGAAGUAGAUAAUAAUCAAGAGUUUGAAGUAGAAAAAGUCUUAGAUUCAAGAUAGUACUAAAAUAGGUUGAAAUAUCUUAUUAAUUAAUGUAGAUAUGAUAUUAGUGAACACACAUGGAAGCUAAAAAAAGAAUCUUAUAGAUAGAGAAAAGAGGAUUGAGGCUUUUCAUUGACAACAUCCAUCAAAAUUAAGAUAUAAAAUUAAAAGAUCUAUAAAAGAUGAUGAUUGUUCUUUGUGAAACUUGUUCUUGAAAGAAAAUGUAAUAGAAUUGAUAUAUAUAUUUAUUCCAAUAAUUAUUUAUAUGAUUAGGUAGAAAUAAAUAAAUAUAGAUUAAUUUCAUAGUUUUCUCUAAAAAAGCUUUUUAGAAGCUUCAUAGUUAUAGUUUUGACUUUAUAUGUAUUUGUAGUUGAUUCAUAGGUUGAAAACUUAUUCAACAAGUUGACCAUGUUUUACACAUAUUGAUAGCUAAUUAUGUAGCAUACAUAUAGAUAACUUGCCUUGCAAGUUAAAACAUGUAUUUAACAAAGUUAACAUAUAUUAGAGGUCCCAUAGAAGUUUGCAACUUAGCUCCUAGUUUAUGAAUAUAUAUGGAGGCAAGAGUGAAGCCUUCCUCACUCUUGUCAAUGCCUUUCAAGUCCUUUGUCUUGUUUUCAGACUUUUUAGUCUUCUUGUCUUUGGCAAUAGCCAUUGUAGUUUAAUACUAUAUUAUCUUUGAAUGAUUUUUUAGUCUUUUUGAAUGAUAUAAGAGUAUAUUAAGCAUUUCUUUCUUUGAAAUCCAUAUCUUUAAUACUAUAGCUUUGAUAUUCUACAAAAUUUGCUUUGAUUGAUAUAUUUGCAAGUUUCAAAAAAUUGCAUUCUAUAAUAUAAUAAAUUAAGUCACUUUAAGAUUGUGCAUUGUAGUUUCUAGUAAAGUGGCCUUAGUAGCCAUAGUUGUAACAAUAGAUUGUAUGUAUACUUUUGGUCCAACUUGUAUUAGGAUAUAUAGAUAAGAUAGAUUAUUUUCUAUCUUUUUAAGUUGUAGUUCUGAAGACUAGAUCAUCAAUUGUUUGUGAUUGCUUUCCAUGGUAUGAUGAUACUUCUCUUUAAAGGUGUUGGUAUUGUCUGUAGAUUCAACAAUUUGGAUUUCUUCUCAUUGGAUCUGCUAUCUUCUUCUAAAGCCAAAUAAAGACUAUAUAGAUUUAGCAAUUUGGAUUUCUUCUUGUUGGAUCUGAUGCCUUCUUCUAAAGCCAAAUAAAGACUAUAUUUGAAUAGCUAGUACUUCUUUGUGACCAAAUUUUUGGUCUCAAAUUUAUAUAUUGUAUGUCUUUGUUUAAAUUUUUUUCAUGGUCUCUUCAAAAGAUGGAUUCAAGAUAUAAGUUAUACCUUGAAUGACCAUCUCAUAGCUUUAAGAAAGAUUGUUGAAUACCAAGUUGUUAAGUAUUUUGUUUGAGAUGGUCUUUUCAAAAGCUUCGAGUUGGUUCUCCAUGUCCAUAGCUUUGGUGAGGUAUGUGUUAAUGUCGCCUUCUUUGUGCAUGGUCAUGGAGUAAGUUAUUUAUUGAGGAGCAUGAUUUAUUGUUAGUAUCUUGAUUGAAAUAUUUUCUGUAGCAUCUCCUACAAAUUGGCUGGAUUAUUAUGUUGAGGUACUAUGCCCAGAAGAUUAUUCUUGAUGGAUAAUGUGAUCCCAGAUUGAACUUGUUGUUUCUCCUCUCACAAUUGAGCUUCUGUGUAGGCUCUUUCUCCUAUUGUAGCUAGAAAUACUUUUGGAUCACUCUUUUCUACUACUAACGACCAUAGGUUUUUUUCUUUUCAGUAUGGCCGUCAUCCUGAGCCUCCAGACAUUUGAGUUCUUGGGUCCUAUCAGAUUGCUGUUGUCAUCAACCUCACAACUCAAGGUUCUCUUUUCGAUGUCAGCCAUUGUUUCCUUACUAGUGGUAAAUUUCCAAAACCUUCAACUGUGAUUACUAUUUGCUACCAAUUAAAGAGCAGAUUUCUCUUGCUAUUUUAGAUCUAAUAUUGCAACCCUAAUACCAAAAGCUAACCUUUGAUACUAUGUAGCUAAACUCACAGAGUGUUGAUCAAAAUCAAGAGAGCUUUAUUAACGAAAUGAAUCCAAGUACAUACAAGACGACAGAUUUAGUCUACAACUAGAGCGAGUAUACUAACGGUUUCCAUCCACAGAAUAACUAGGGCUGGAUGGUUGAUGGCCUUCACUAGGGUGAUUAGGUCAGCACAGGUUGAUGAUGCCAAGAGUCAUCCCAACUCAACUCACUGCCUGAGGUGUCCAUCCUGAUCCCAACGCCAUCACCAGGCAGCAGCUCCAAACUCGGUAUCCAAGUUCACCCUCUAAGAAAUUCCGCGGCCCUCCCAAAAUGAUCUCUACAGUGACCUCAGCACAAAUUCCUCACUACCAAAUGGCCAAUGCUCAACCCUGUCAAUCGCGCCACAAUGUGCUUCCCCUCGUAUUCCUCCAACAAUCUAGAAUACUAUCGCCACCGUUGUCAAUUCCAGAAGAUUAAGAGGAGAAUAAAAGUGCUUCACGAAGCAGAUUGAUCUGAGUGCUAAUCACCAAAAGCAUCAAACCGCACAAGAUAGACCUUGGCUCCGGCUCAAUCUGGAAGACGGUCAAACCAAACAUGUGAAGACCGUGGAUGAUGGGAAGGUUGAAGGACGUCGAUUACUCGGAACUUUCUAUAUUCAUUUCGCGUGGAAUAGCCGCAGUAAACACUAAGCAGAUAACUCGAGAGUGACGGCGGUGAGAAAGAAUUCACACCAAAAGAUUCGGAGAUUUUGAGAGCCAGUUUUCACGGCAUGGGAGACGCCUCCCUAAUGGCUUCCUACACAGGUCGUGAUCACGGUGGUUGACACCGUGGUCGGCAUGAUCGAUCGUUCUCUGUUAAGGAUGAUGCUCUGUUCCGUCCAGACGUUAUUCAUGAACGGCUUCUGUUGGAGCUCCUUGCAGCAGUGGGGAGAGCAGCUUUUUGAACGGAAUUGCCAGACGAAGUCACUCGAAUGUAACGUUUGGUCCUUUCCUUCUUGGUCUGUGCUUACCUUGUUCACUCGGGCCUACUUUAGCCACGACUCAAGAGCCUAUGGAAACACAUCCGUCAAUUAAUAUUCCACGUGUUGCUAUACGUGGUGUGAGCUUACUUGUCUUCGUUAUCGUCAGCAUCUUCGAAUGGUUUGUACCAAACCUGCACUUCUACGCUUAAGAACACGUAUAAAUAAUCCAGUGUAUGUUUCAACGAUUACUUUGUUUCAUACUUUUGAAUCGACUGUUACAGAAACAUCAAACAUCAUUAGUCUUCUGAAAUCGUACUUCAGUGCAAUCAUUGUUCUUCCAGUUCUGAGAGUGUUUGUGAGGUUUAUCUUUGAGUUUGCAACUCAGAAUGGCGGACGAAUACGGGCGGGAAAGGAUUAGAGACGCUGUUGAAGGGCUUGGUGAGGACGGACCUGUAGUAGGCGGUGAGGUUACGGACCGUGGUUUGUUUGGAAGACACGGAAGACAUCACGGAUACAACAGCGGAUACAGUGAAGAAGAUGCGUUUGCCUCUGAGCUCGGAGGUCCAUAUGGACGUCGACCUCCACCUGGAGCUGUGGUUUAUGAAGGAGAAGGUGGCUUUGGCGAUGGAUAUGGACGUCGUCCCCCAGUAAUGCCAUAUGAGGGAGUAGGAGGAGGCUAUGGCGGAGGUUAUGGAAAUGAAUAUCCACCAGAUGUUGCUGGAGGUGGCUAUGGCCGGCAUGGUUAUGCAGGUGAGGACUAUGGUCGUCGUCCUGGUCCUCCCAUGUACGUCGAAGCGCCGGUUGAGAAUUCCGAUCUCGGCACUGGUUUGGUAGACUCCAAUAUCCGAACUGAGCCAGAUUACGGCGCUGGCUACGGUCGUCCGGAUGGCACUAGCGCAUACGAAGUUCAGGGACGUCACGGUGGGAAGCACGGCCACUUGAGUAAAGAGGAACGAGAGGAGCUUGAGGAUGAGCGCAAGCACAAGCAUUAUGCUGAAGCGGCGGCUGCUGCGGCCCUCGGCUACGGACUCUACGAGCGUCAUGAGAAAAGAGACGCGGAGGAUAGGCUGGAAGAACUCGGCUACGAUUCUGACGGCAAGAAGAAACAAGGCCACCACUUCUUCCGCUCCGAUUCCUAAACAUCGGAUCGGGGUUGGAAGAGAACCUGAAUUGAAAUCUAAGUUUUAUGUGUAAAGCGUUGUGUAGCCUGCGGAUUCGGUGUUGUGAUUAGACUUAGAGGUGCGCUUGGUCUCUGCAAAAAAUCUGUAAAAAUGACCAGAGGAAUUGCCAAUGAGUACGGACUGCCUCGUAGAAAGCUCGUUUUCACUUGAGCUAUGAUUACGUCAUGAACUUAUUCUGUAUUUUACUAACAAUGAAAUCGCAAGUCUUGCAUUUGAUUUGAUUUCAAAACUCGAUAUGCAAUAGAGUUUCAGGUCUCAAUCUCCUGUUAACUCUCGUGUACUCUUUCAGACCACCACAUUUCAAUCUCUUGCCAGAAUUAUAUCAUCCUGUCGUAAGAAACUUCUCGGUUACAGUUCCUACCAACUUCUGAAGCACCUCACAGAAAUUCGGCGGCUUCUUAAGAAAUUACAAAUUCGAGUUCCGGGAGUUUGGUCUUGUAUGUGUAUCUGUGACGUAGUAACAUGUUUUACUGUGAAUCAGCAGAUCCAUCCGAGCUUGCUGCGAUGCAAUUGUCUUCCAUUGAAUAUAUAAUGCUGGUCAGGAACAUCUUUAGCCCCCCGUCCCCCGCAGAAUAUUAAGAUUUCCUGAUGCGUCCAAUUUCUGGAAAUACUUCAAAGCUGGAAUGCUUUGUGGAUCCUCAGCAAUUCGCCAGCUUCACUUCACAAAGUGCAUUCGUCAACUUUCCACUUUACGUGGUUGGAACAAUCAAAAAGUACUCAGUUGAUGCGAAUCCUUCUUACACAUGUUAGCUUUUCAGUUAUGGAUCUUCACUUCGCACUACUUGUUUCUUUAUCCAAGCCACAGCGUCAUCUCGGGCGUCUUCGGUCUCGGUUGCGAAAGCUCGGCAAAUUAAAUUUGCGUGUCAUUUAUCGUGAGCACAGGACAAUUGAAGUGGGGUAGAGACUGGCUGUCGGCCACAGUGCUCGCGACUUGGAUUACGAACGGACGGAGACGGACGAACGAACGAACGAAAAAUAGACGAACAGAGGAGGAACGAAGAAGGGAUCAAACCCUUUAAAAUGAAAAAUAUAAUUAAUUUUGGGGAAUAUUAAAUUAAUUCACCUAAAUCUCAAAUUGAUCCACCAUCAAACUUUUGGAUAAUAAUAACUAUGUGAGUUGCUUUGUACCUCACUUUUGUUGUUAAGCCAUUACCAUGUUGUACAAAGACCUUAUUUGGAUUAAUGAAAACAAAUAGCUCAGGGAAAAUGAUUGAUUAGACUAAAGGGAAUUAAUGCAUAGUCAAAGGUAGAAGAAGCAAAGACAACUAUAUGAAAUAUGACUUAGAAAGCAACCUUCAUAGUCAUUAUUUAGAAUUCAUGUGAUGGAUUAUUUCAAGAUUUAUAUGGAACAAUUUAAUAUUUCUCUUAAAUUUUAGUCAAAACUUUUAGCUUCAUGAUUUCCAAGUACCAAUGUAAAUUCUAUAUUUUAUUGUAGAUUUAUUAUAAAGGAAAUUAAAAAAGAUAAAUUCCCCAAAAAAAAAAAAAAAAAAAAAAGAAGAAAAAAAAAGAAAAAAAAUAAUUUAUUACUAAGUUCUUAGAAAAAUGCAAAAACGCCUUUGCUUACACACUACAUUUUAAUAAUAUGAUCUCAAUAUUGUUGAAAGUAUUGGUUAUCAAAAAAAAUCUAUAAAAUGAAGAAAUCACCAAGUUUACAAUAAAUAUAAUCUAAUUUAGACUAUAUGGAAUAAAUCAUAUAAUAUUAAUAAAAUAUCUGAUUUCUAUUAUAAUUAUAAUUUUAAUAUAUUUUAAUAUUUUAAGGACAAGAACUCAAUGAAAGAAAAUAAACAAAGAAGACUCUUUCCAAGAAAUAUGAUAAAAUAGAAAUAAAAAAAUAUAUAUAUAUUAAAAAAAAAAAUUGAAUGGCUAUUGCCAAAAGACAACGAAACUAGAGACUCUUGAAAUUAGACUAGAACCAAGAAAGGAGUUGACAAGACUGAAGAAGACUUCACUCUUACUUCUAUAUAUAUUCUCUAUCUAGGAUCUAUGUGGCCACGUUCUAUAAGACCUCCAAAGACAUGUUGACUUCACAUAAUAUAUAUAUAUAUAUAUAUAUAUAUAUAUAUAUAUCUUAACUUACAACGUAAGUUUUUUAUAUGGACGCCAUAUAAUUAGCUUAUUCCGCAAGCUAUCCACAUAUGUAGCACAUGGUUAGCUUGUUGAUCAAGUUUCUAAUCUAUCAAUCAACUGCAAAUAUAUGUAAAGCCAAAACAAUGUCUAAGAAGCUCUUCUACAAGGUAUUAUGAAGUUAAUCUACUUCUACUUACUUCUACCUAUUCAUAUUAUCUAAAUAAAAAUUAUAGUAGAUAUAUAUUUGUGAUAAUAUCUCCUAUUUUAAAGAUAAGUUCUACAAGAAGUUGUGAUUAUAUAUUGAUGAAAUCUAAGAUGCAACAAAUUAUAUUUGCCAUAUAUUUUGAUCUUUCUUUCCUUCAAAGGUAGUUGAUAGAUCCUCUUAGCUAUCAAUAAUAUCCCAUUUCACAAUAGAAAGACCUUCCUAUUAUUUGAUCAUUAUUGAAAUCUUCGUAACUUCCUUCAAGUAUAACAUUUGUAAUACCAUCAGGAGUCGUGUCUACUUCUAAUAAAAUCAUCAAACAUUAAGAGUCUCUUUUUAGGUUGUGAUAUCAAGCGUGUUGUAUCUUGCCAUCUAUUCAAAGAAAAACAUAUUGUUCUUGAAGGUCUUCAUUCCUAUUAUGUUAUCUUAAAGGGUGUAAAAAUUCUAAUGUCUCAUCUAAUAAAUCAAUAAAUAAUGGCUCUUAACUUGAAUCUGUUGGCUAUUAAUUUUUCAUCUCUUUAACACCACAAUUAUACAAAAAGUACAAACAAGGAUAGAAGAUAGAAUGUAAUCUUUUCUAAAUUGUGUUUCUUUUAUAGUAAAGGUUUAUUAUUUUUUAUCUUCAUUUUGAUGGAUAUCAAUGAUAAAAUGCUUUGACCUUCUCUGCUAUAUUUAUAAGAUUUUUUGCUAAAUUAUAUGUAUAUUUAUUAAUAUCAUAUCUACACAAAUGAAUAAGAUAUUCCAACCUAUAUGGGUAUUACCUUGAAUCUAACACUUCUUCUAUCUUCAAUUCUUGAUUGUUAUCUAUUUCUAUAAGAGGCAGUGGUAUUUGUUUUCUUCCCAAGAUAUUCAUUAUCUUAUAUGGCUCUAAAAGAGACAUAUGAAAUAUGAGAUAGAUUUUCAUAGACUUUGCAAUUGUUUGGACUUUGUAAUUGUUGUUGAAAGUCAGGGUUUGUAUUGGCAACUUGGAAUUUAUGCAAUGAAAUUAGGGCUAGUACUCUCAGCUAAUUUAUAAAAUUGGUAUUAUAUCUAUAGUUUAAAUUUUUAUAAUACUUAGUUAAUUAGGUGUUCUAAGUGUAUGUAAAAUUUUGUAAUAAUUCAAUUGUGCAAUGAAAAGAUAUUUAGAUUUUGGUACAAGAACAUACCAAAAAUUGGCAGUUUGGAAUUGGGUAGGGUUUCUAUGAUAUUUGAAGAUCUAUUUAUUGGAUCAAGGUAAAAUUUGGCAUGGUGUUGGAAGACUUCAAGAUCAAGCUACACACUAAUUUUGAGUUGAAGUUAACUAUUAGAUAAGGAGAAAUCACUACUGGAAUAUUUGCAUCAACUUUCAAGUUGGCGGCCAAGUAACAUCAGUGUAGUUUUUGGAUAUUUUUUCACAAUUUAUCAAUUGGAUUGAAGUGAAUUCUUAUUUACCACAUAGAAGACUUAUAGUAGCAUUUGUGUGCAAAAUUUUGCUCUAAGUGAAUGGUUAAAUCACAAGCUUUAGUUUGCUAAAGCUUAUUGAUUAGGAUUAAGGUUUGUAAAGAAAGUUUGAAAUUGCCUAAUUAUUGAAGUAAUAAGGUAAUUGGAAUUCAUACAUGGUUGAAACUACUAAGAAGAGUGUUUUUGAGUACUUUGUAUUGGAUUUAAGAAUUUUUGAAUUAAAAUUAAAAUUACAUUCUUCUUAAAAAGAUAAAAUAUAUUAGGAUUUUUGAAUAAUUAUAAAAUUUAAUCUCACCUUCUACAAUCAGAUGCCCGAUGCAUUUCCAAAUAGGACAAUAAAUGAUAAACUUAACAUAAAAUUUUGGGGUGGAAGGUAUUGGAUUGUAUUUGUGGUUAUUUAGAAUUGAUGGCACAAGAAGACAAGUAGGUAGAAUUUGGUAUCUUUGAUGGAGCUUUGGAUAGAGCUACGAGUGGAUCUUCAAGUGGAUUUUCUACUGGUGAACAAGAUAUGUACUUUGAUCUAAACAUUGCAAAAAUGUUUCAAGAUUUACAUUAUUUAUAUAACAACAACAGAGCAAUGAUUGCAAAGAAGUUUUAGUAACCAAAUAGUUACAAGCGAUAGUUAAGAAGAUUGACCAAUUUGAUGAAAAAGAUAUCUCUAAAUAUUUAAGAUGUUAUGUACAAGAAAUGGAAUUGAAUUGUAUUUUUCAAAAGAAAUUAAUUCAAUUAUUUGAGCUUGCUAUGGUAUCAAAUAUAAUAGAAUAUAUAAGGUUUGUUAUGGGAAAAUUUAGAAGUUUAUAGAAGGUAUUUUCACACGUAUUUAAGGAUGAGUAUUUUUUGGAGGAUAUUGAUUGAGUUACUAAAAAAUCAUUCUUGGAAUGGAUUGAACGAUCUAACAAGAAUUUGCAAGCUAUAAAAUUAUUAGGAGAAUUUAAAAGGCAAUUUUUUUAAUUAUUAAAAAUAGAAAAGUUAAUAUUGAGACCAAAUAAGUUUGAAUUGUUACUUCAAGCUAUUUAUGGAGAAUUACAAGAAAAGUUAGAGGUUCUUUUUAAAGACAAAAAAGAAGAUAAAGGAUUGACAACAAAGAAGAGGGUUGUUGAAGAUGUUAUUAGAUUGCUUGCCAAAAGAGAAAGGAGAAAAGAUAGGAUUGGUGCUCGAAGAGUGGUACAAGUAUCAAAGAUUUCAAUGCCUACUACACAAUUGACUAUGCCUAUUAUCCAACCUCUACUAGCUAGACCAAAAAAAGAAGAUAUGGAACUUGAGAAAAUUGUAUAUGGGAUGUGGGGUCUUUAAAUCAAACUUGUAAGGCUUGAAGAAAAAACUUCUACAAUAAGUUCAAAAGCUAUUUUAAAAUAAGAAUAUGUACAAAGAUGUAUUUGGUGUGAUGAUAAUUUCCAUUCUUGAAAAGAUUGUGGUGAAUUUGAUGAGAUGAUACAAUAAGAUUCUAUUUAUUAGAAAGAGGAAAAAAUUGCAUUAAAGGAUACUGGUGAUCUUUUCCAAACCAACUUUGGUAUAGGAGGUAUGAAAGCAUUGGUAAAAGAUUAUUUAAUAAUACAUGGUAUUGCAACAAUAGGAAUUACAAGUUAUGGAAAUAUGGUAGAUAAUGAUGGUAGAUAGAAUUUUAUUGAAAAUGUUCAACCAAGUGGACUUUGAUCUUCUAUCAUUUUUACAAUACAAAAAGAGAAGAUACUAUAGGAAGCUUUAUUGAAAACCACUGUAAUAAUUUGUGGUGCUAUAGGUUGUUAGAAUCUUAUAGAAGCUUUGUCAGUACAUGCAUAUAUUGCUAAAAAUUAACAUGAAGCUUUAAUAGAAGAAAAGAAGAGACAAAAUUUUGAUGAUACAAGAAAAAGAAAUUCUUCUAAGAAGCAAAAUCGAAGACAUAAGGCUUAUAUAGUGGCUUCAUAAGAAUUUUUCACAAAGGAUAUUUCAACAAUAAUGAAAGAAAAAAUAAACGAGAUGAAAGAUAAAGAAAAAUUGACAACUUACAAACUACUUUUUGAUAUUGAAGCAACAAAAAAUUUAAAGAGAGUACUUGACAAACGUGUGAUCAAUGCUAAGGUUGAAUUUACAUUGAAAGUGAUUUUAGAAAUUACCAAGAAAGAAUUCUAUGAUGUCAUUAUUGACAAUAUUAAAUGAAAGAGGCAAAUAAUGGGAGAAGCUGGAUUGAAUCAUGCUAUUAAUGCAUGUUGUUGUCUUGUGAUUUGGCUACUAUAUGAAGAUAAUAUAAUUAUGUACUUAAUAUAUAAUUUACUAAGUAAUAUAGUGAGAACCAUGUUAAUAGGUUUUAGUUGGUUGAUAGAAUAUAAUUUGAUUAUUACUUUGAGAAGUGGUUGUUUAAAAAUAUUACUAUAGAAUUUGUUUAACUUUAAUUUCUUUUGAUAGUGGCUUUUAAGAUUGGUUUUGGUUGAUAAUAACUUCUAAAUAUUUAGAGUCACCUUUGUUAGACAUUGGUGACCUUUGAAAACUUAUUUUUGUUCUUUUAUUUGAUGUUUAGAGCAUAAAUUAUGUAAAUCUUGUAAGAAAAAGGAUUGAAGAAGGAUUUUGGUAGAAAAGGGAGUAAUUAGGGCACCAAUAUAGAUGAAUGGAGAUGGAUGAUGAAAAUUUCCAUUCCUAUUGGUCAAAAAUCAUGACCAAUAGGCUUUGAGGAGGCUGCCCGAGGCCAUUUUUUGAGAUUAGGGUUAGUUUUCCGGAGCCAUUUGAGCUUUGAAGGCUAAAGUCAGUAAGUUUAGGUUUUUUGCUAUGGUUUUGGCACAAGUUUUGUAUGAUUUGGAGUUUAUAUGAAGGAGAUAUAGGCACUCAAAGUUAAGGUGUUGAUUUGGGAGCUACUGUCACUCUUUUUGGCAUAAUGCACGCGUACAAAGAGCAAUUGAGGAUCGGCAAUUGCAAUUGGAGAGAGCACUUUUGCGGCUUCACUUUUUAUAUACUGCUUGCUGGAUUUCAAGUUGAAGUAAAGGAGUUAUUGGAUUUUGAAGACAGUGCAUGCAAUCUAAGGGUAAUAAGUGACCCAAUUUACUAGUAGUUGUUUCUUGAGCUAUAUCUUGAGCAAUUUGACAAUGUUUUGGCUCAAAAUUUCAAGAAAUGUGUAUAUUUAUGUUCAUAAACUUUUUACAUAAGUUUUAUGAUAUUUUAGUAUUGGAUUCUUAAGAUAUUAAGAAAAUAGUGCUCAGAUACUUGUAAAUUAGGGUUUAGAGUAUCUAUUAGGAUUUUUUAGAUGUCAAAAGAUCGGGAGUGAAUUUAUAGUUGAUUUUUUUUGUAAUAAAAUUUAAGAAUGAAUUCUACCUAUCCUAUAAAUUUGAAAUAAACUGAACGGCUAGAUCGACAGUUUUGAAUUUCUAAAGUUCAAAAGAAGAAAAUCCUUUGUGGGAAAAAUAUGUUUUGAAGGGAUUUUGUUAUAUUUUGAGUUUUAUGCAAAUUAAAGGAGUUUUAGGAGGCUAAGACAAGAUUCAUAUAAAGGUUUAAGCUACAUUCUCUAUAGCUAGAUACCCAGUGUAUUCCUAGAUAGUAAAUCACACCAUACGACAACAUAUAUAUGAGGAUGAAGAAAAUGUAUUCGAUAAUUAUUACAAACAAUCAAUAAGUGAGGCGAGGAGUCAUAAUCAAAGAGUAUAUUUUGAUGAUCAAAGUAAUAAAGAUAAAGAGGUUUCAAGUAAUUAAAUGUGAGUUAUAUGGUGCUUGCCUAGAUGUAAAAAUUCAAAUUUGUAAUGUUGCAAUGGAACAAAAAAAUUUUGUUUAAGAUACAACAUACUAUCGUCUUAUUUUGGAACAACCAUAUAUUAUUGCAACUUAGAUGGAAAAAAAUGUACUUGAUGAUGGUUCAGCUUAUAGAUGAAUUCAUAGUAAGGAUGGGAAGAGGGCAAUAUAGUUUUUAACUGUGUUUCCAAAUCAUGAAGGAAAUUGAGACAAAUUGAUAAAAAAUCCAUUGCCAAGGAUUGUUGAAGAAUUCAAGGAUUUUUUGGAGGUACUGCUAUAAAGCAAGAUUAGAGAGAUAUAAAAGGAGAGAUACUCUUGAAAGAUAUAGCUACCUUUGAUGGAAGAUUUAUUAGUAUUUUUGCUAAAUGGAAGUAUUAUCUAUAAGAGGAUUGAAGACUUAAAAAGAAAAAAAAAGAAAAGAAUUGUGUGCUAUUGAAAAAGAAUUGUGUAGAAUAAGAAUAUUAGAAGAUAAUAAAAAGAUUAUUAGUAUUUAUGAAGAAAAUAGUUCAAAGGAUCUUUUGGAAUUGAUUGCAUCUAUUGAAUUAGAUAACAAUGAUAAAAUUAUACCAAUUCAUUUAAGAGAAGUUUAUGAUAUGAUUGAAUCUUUUUAAGUACCAAAGGUUAUAGUUGAGACAAAAUAUAAGACAAUAGAUAAGAAGGUGAAAGCCAUUACUAGACCUUUGUCAGAAGAUUCUAAAGAACAAAUAGAAGAAGCAUCAAAGAAAUGGAGCUUGAGAAAUCUGAGGAAUAUUGAACAUAAGUUUACUAAAGAGACUUUUGAAGAAUUGAAGUUUGAUUUUGAUGGUUCUUUAUUGCCAGAGAAAAUUGUUUGCUUCAAAGAAAUGUUGGCAAAACAAGGUAAAUCAUUUGUCUUUGAGUCUUACAAAAUUCGAUGUAUAGAUCCAAAUAUUGUAACGCCUAUGGUUAUUUUCACUAUUCCACAUGUACCUUGGAAUUUAAGGCCAAUAUCAGUACCAAUGGCACAUUUAUCAAGUUUGAUGGAAUUAUUAAAAGGAAAGAUGAAAAUAAAGAUUUUGAAGCCCUCUUUUGUAUUAUAUUCUAGUCAAUGGUUUACAAUUCCUAGAAAAAAUGAAUCAUCACAAUUUAUUCAAAAUAUGCAACUAGUGAAUGUAAUAACUAUCAAGAAUGUAGGAAUUGGACCUAUAGUAGAUGAAUUUAGUGAGGCAUUUGUAGGAAAGGCGAUAUAUUCAAUAGAUGAUAUAUAUUUGAGCUAUGAUCAAUUUCAACUUGUAGAAGGGAAUAGAGAUAUGACAACGAUGAGAAUACUACUUGGGUUAAUUAGAAUGUAUACUCUUCCUCAAGGUGCAACUAACUCAGUUGCACACAUGAUGAACAAGAUGAAUAAGGUGUUGAGAGAUUUUAUUCCUGAGAAGACUAUGCCUUUUCUAGAUGAUGUUCUUAUAAAGGAAUACAAAGAAGAAAACAAGGAUGAAACUUUAGAUAAAAAAAGAUGUUACAAGUAUGUUACUAAUUAUAUAUAAGAUUAUAAAAAAAUAUUAAUCCGGCUUGGAGAAAUUCAUAUUAUAUUAUCAGGUGUAAAACCUACAUUUAGAAUAUAAGAGGUUGUAAUUGUUGGAUAUUUAUGUAGAUUUUAUAGAAAAAAACUAUAUCCAACAAGAUUGAUGCAUUUGGAAGAAUGAAAGAGGAUUGCAGUUUUUUAACAAAGGUUUGUAGGUUUUUAGAUGCAUGUGUAUUUUAUCGUAUUUAAAUUCUUCAUUAAGCUCACAUAGCGGAUCCAUUAUAUAAAUUAUUACAUAAGGGCUAUCAAUUUAAAUGGAAAAAAAAUCAUAUUAAAGUAAUACAAAGAUGGAAGAAAUUAUUGACAUUGCCUCCAGUUUUGAGAAAAAUUAAUUAUAAGUGCAAUAAACCAAUGAUUUUUAUAGUAGAUACUAAUCCAAUUGCCAUUAAAUGGACUAUAGGUUAAGAUGAUUCAAAUAGAUAUAUAUUUGCAGUGCAAUUUGGAGCUAAGAUUUUAAGAACUUACCAACAUGCAUAUUCAGAAGUGAAAAAGAAACUAUGAAGAAUUGUUUCAGCUAUGAAAGCUGAAAAAGAUUAUUUGAUUGGAGCAAUUGUGGUAAUUGAAACAAAUUUUUUAUCUUUACUUGGAAUAAUUAUCAAUUAUACAACACCAGAUAUUAUAAUAUUGACAUGGAUUGCUUAUAUCAUAUUAUUAAAUUCAAAAUUUUGGCAUAUUGUGGAGAAAGAUAAUUUGGUAGUAGAUAUGUUAUCUCGUCCAAUAUAUGAUAGAAAAGAUGAAAUGAUUGAAGAUAUUGAUGAUGUGGAUACAAUAUUUUAUUUGGUUGCACAAUUGAACAAGAAAAAUAAGCCAUUUCAUGAAGAAAAUUAUAAAGAAGAGUUAUUAAAUAUUGGAUAUUAUUUGAAUAUAUUAAAUAAGAAUAUUAAUCGAUCAAUUAAAAAAUUUAAAUAGAUCAGGAAAAAAACAUAUAGAUUCAUAUUAUAAGGAGGAUUUCUAUGGAAGAGGUCAAAAUCAAAUAUCGGAAUGCCAUGAAAAGUAAUAGGUACCAAGAAAGAUCAACAAACACUAUCCAAGGAGUUUCAUGAUAUUCUAUGGGCGGUGUCAUACUGUAAUUGCUUAUAGUAUGUAAAAAUUAAUUAAGACAUAAAAUAUAUUUUUAAGUCUUGAUAUAGAUUGGAGUGGUAAGUAAAUAAAUUUAAAGAGAAUUGAUAUAAGAAAAUUUAUUUGGAAAUUUAUCUAUUUUGAUUAUAGUGUUUAUAUUAUGUAGGAUUUAGAUAUUUAGUAUAAAGCUUAAGAAAAGGUUGGAGUUUAAAGAUUAAAGUCUAAACUAUUAGGAGGCUUAUUAAAAAAGAUGAAAGCAAGGUAUGGUUGGAUGAAGCCAUAUCUUGAGUUUCUGGAUGAAUUUUUGGCUCAAAAUUUCUAUAAGUGUGAGUUAGGUUAAAAAGCUAUAGAUCAAAGUUUCAUGGUAUUUGAGUACUUAUUUUGUGAGAUAUGAAGAAAUUAACACACAUGUAUCUGUAAGCUAGGAUUUAAAGCUAUUAUUAGGAUUUUUGUGAUAUCUCAAGAUCUAUAACGAAUUUAUAAUUGAAUUUUUUUGUGGUAUUUUUUGAAAGUAUAUUAUUACUUUAUAUAAAAUUUAAGAUUGUUUGGAUUGUUUGAUCAUGAAAUAUGAGCUAUUGAAGUUUAGAAACAUUUUUCAUAAGGAUAUAUAAGGUUUUAAGAUACUUUAUCAUAUAUUUGGAUGUUUUUAAGGCACUUGGGCUUAUGUAUUGAUGUAAUUGCCUAAAAAAAAAUAUUAUAUAUAUAAACUUGAUAUUUUUAUAUCUUAGACUUGAUUGAAUAUUUAGGGGCAGCUAAAAAUCUAACAUUUUCUUGAGGCAAACUUUCUCUACCCCGACAGCAAGACAUAGAAUAAUUUAGGCUAAUUUUGCUAAAUUGAAGAAAAAAUAUUAGUGGAAGAAUAUAUAUUGAGAUGUAGCUUCAUUUAUAGAAUCUUCUGUAAUUUAUCAAAUAUAUUCAAAUAUAUGACAUCAAGAUGGGUUAGAUCCAACAUAUCCCUUAACUAUUCAUUUUAAAUGGGUUGUAGAUUUGGUUAUUAUGCCAAUGUAAUUAUGGCAAAUGAGAUAUUUAGUUUUGGCUUGUUAAGAUUUAUCAAACCAAGUAGAAGGCUUGGCACUAAGAACAAAGUCUAUAGAAGAAAUUUUUAGGGUUUUACUUAAGGAUGUUAUUUAUUACUAUAGAUGUAUGGAAAAGAUCACUAAAAAUCAUGGAGAAUUGGAUGCACAUAAAGCUUGUAAAUUUUUUAAGAGAUGUGGAAUUGAAUUAUCAUUGAAUAUUUCUUAUAAUCUAGAGGGGAAUGCAAAGAGAGAAUGUGGACAUCCACCAUUUGUAAAAACCUUAGUUAAAGCUUACAAUAGAAGAGUGAAAGAAUGGCCUCAACUUCUACCUUAUGCAUUAUAAGUUGAUUGAACAAUACAUAGUUCAGUAAUAGGGUAUAUGCUAGUAAAACUUAUGACAAGUCAAAAAUCAAUUAUGCUAAUUGAAGAACAUAUGCCAACUUGGAGUAUGCUACUAUGGAAAGAUGGAUUGACAAGGGAGGAAUUAUUAGCUAUUAGAAUUUAGCAACUUGAACAAAAAUUGGAAGAUGUAGAACUAGCAUUAAAAAGGUUAUAAAAGAUAAAGUUAGGAAAUAAGACUCGAUUUGAUAAGCAACAUCAAUUGAAGCCUAGAAUAAUUAAAGAAGAUAAUUGAGUACUUGUUUAUAACAGCAGUUUGGAUAACUAACAUAGUACUUUGUAAAAUUUUUCAAAACGUUGAUUUGGACCAUAUGUGGUAGUAAUGGUUCAUGAUAAUGCCACAUAUUUAUUAAAGGAGUUAGUUGGUAUGAGGUUUAAGGUAUCUUUUGCAAAGAAGCAAGUGAAGAUUUUCAUAAUAUGAGAUAGAAAAAUCAAUAUAGAGAACCAUACUGAAGAUAUCAAUAUUUUUGAAGAAGAUAAUUGUUUUGAAGUGGAUGGUGAAAAUAGAAAUGAAGAGUUGGAUAAAGAAAAUAAAGAGAUGGUAUAAUUCUAAUUACAAUAUAUAGUUCAUUUGGUGCAUGCUGGACAGUGCCUAGGUUAAAAGAAAAUAGAUGUUAUUAUGUAAUACAAUUAUAUAGUAAAGUUAUAAUUAAAAUUAAAUUUCUAAUUAAUAUCUAAUUAUCUUGAUUCAAUAAUAAUUCAAGGUAUCUAAAUAUGACUCUUAUAAAAGUCUCUUAACUUAUUUUUUUAUCUUAAUAGUUUGUAGGUUGAAGGUUGGUUAGUACUUUUAUCUUUUAGGUUGUAGAGAUUUUUUUAUUAGUAUAAAAAGACCAUAAAUUAAUAAAAUCAAGUUAAAAGAGAUAAAUAAUUAAUAUGGUUCAUACUAAGAUUAAGUUGAAAGUAGAAUUGGGCUAAAAUAUCCUUAGGAUAGGUUAGAUUGAUAUCCAAAGGUAGACCAUUUGUAAGACAGGAUUGAAAUCAAACCUCUAGCCGUUAAAACAACUUUUUAAGAUAAAAUAGGAUUUUUAUUUCAAAAUUGAAGAUUAGAAUUUGAAAAUUAGGUUGGAGCUUGUUUCAAAGAUAUAAGGUUGAUUUUGAUAGAAUUUGUUUGAAUUUUUUAAUUGUUGUUGAAAGUUAGGAUUUGUAUUGGCAACUUAAAAUUUAUGCAAUGAAAUUAGGGCUAGCACUCUCAGCUAAUUCGUAAAAUUGGUAUCAUAUCUAUAGUUUAAAUUUUGAUAAUACUUGGUUAAUUAUGUGUGCUAAGUGUAUGUAAAAUUUUUUAAUAAUCCAAUUGUACAAUUGAGAGAUAUCUAGAUUUUGGUACAAGGAUAUACCAAAAGUUGGUAGUUUGGAGUUGAAUAGGAUUUCUAUGAUAUCUAAAGAUCUACUUGUUGGAUCAAGGUGAAAUUUGGCAUGGUGUUGAAAGACUUCAAGAUGAAGCUACAUAUCAAUUUUGAGUUGAAUUUAACUAUUGGAUAAGGAGAAAUCACUACUGGAAUAUUUGCAUCAACUUUCAAGUUGGUAGUCAAGUAAUAUCAAUGUAGUUUUUGGGUAUUUUUUCACAAUUUGUCAAUUGGAUUGAAGUAAAUUCUUAUUUAUCACAUAGAGUAUUUUUGAAUAUUUUUUAUUGGAUUUAAGAAGUUUUGAAUUAAAAUUAAAAUUACUUUCUACUUAUAAGGAUGAAAUAUAUUAGGAUUUUUGGAUAUUUAUAAAAUAAAAUUUUACCUUCUACAACUAGAUGCCUGGUGCAUUUUUAAAUAGGAUUACACAUAAUACAAUAGUAGGAUUUUAUACCAAGAUAAAAAAAAAGUGUGUAUUCUAUACUACUCAAGUUGAUUUCUUAGGUUAUAUCAUUUCAAAUGAUGGACUUAUGAUAGAUCCUUAGAAAGUUCAAACUAUUAUAGAUUGGAAGAUCUUAGAAAUGAUAUGAGAUGUCUAAUAUUUUUUGAGAUUUGCUGACUAUUAUCAAAUCCUUGUCAAAGACUUCUCUUGAAUUAUAGCUCCACUUACACGUUUGACUUAUAAAGACAAAUUUCAAUGUAAUCAAGAAGCAAAAAAAACAUUUGAAGCUUUAAAGACAGCCUUUGUUUCUCCAUUAAUCCUAUAUUACAUUGUCAUAUCGCAUAUUUUUUUAUCUGAGAAUAUUUUGGAUACUUAGCUAUAGAGAGCUUAUUUUUGGUUUAAUGGCUUCUUACUCAAUAAUCAAUUUAUCUUGAAUGGAGGAUCAAAACAAACUAAGAAAAUAAAUUUAUAUAAAUUAACCAAACAAAGCUUUUGUAUAUAAAUUUUAUCUAUAUAAUCUAAGAAAAGUCAUUAUAUUCUUAACUACACCUUCAACUUCUUUAAUUUACCAAACUAUCUUUUAGUUGGUAAUUACAAUUAAAAUCAUCUUUUAGUUGGUAAUUACAAUUUUAUUUAUAAAAAUUAAAAAUUAUCAAAAUUCUAUGAAUAUAGUAAUUGUAGUAAUAAUAAUAACCAACAAUAGUAACAAUAACUAGCAAUAGUAAUAAUAAUUAGCUUUUAUAACAAUACCUAGUAGUAGUAAUAGUAAUCAAUAGUAGUAACAUUAAUCAAUAAUCAAUAACAAUAACCAAUAACUAGUAACAUUAAUCAAUGUAGUAACAGUAAUCAAUAACUAGUAACAAUAGCUCCUUCAAAACAUAUUUUUUUCCAAAGGUUUUUUUCUUCUCAAACUUUAGAAAUUUAUAUCUUUUGAUCCAACUAUUCAAUUUUUAUCAAAUUUAUAAAUAAUAUAGAAUUUAACUUUAAGCCUUACUUAAAAAAAAUCAACUAUAAAUUUGCUACUGAUCAUUUGGCAUCUUGACAACCCUAGCAAGUGCUUCAAAUCCUAAUUCACAAGAACCCAAGUACUACUUUCUUCAUAUCUCACAAAUCCAAAAUCUAAAUACGACAAAAUUUAUAUAUAAAAUGUAUUAAUAUGAUUACACACAUUCUUAGAAAUUUUGAGCCAAAGUCUCAUCAAAUUGCUCAAGAUAUAGCUCAAAAUACAACCACUAGUGAAUCGGGUCACUUACUACCAUUACAUUUGCAAGUGCUGAUUUCAACCUCUAAUAUCUCCUUCAUUUCAACUUGAAAUCCAUCAAACAAAAUGCAAAAAUUUUAGCCAAAAAAAUAUUUUUUCCAAUUUCAAUCGCCGAUCUUCUAUUUCUUUUUGUACGCAUGCGUUAUAUCCAAAAGAGUAACAGUAGGUAAAAAAUCAAUACUUCAACUUUGAGCACCUAUGUCUCCUUCAUAAAAAUUCCAAUUGAUUCAAAAUUUAUAUCAAAACCAUAGCCAAAAUCUUGAACUUGGUGACUCUAGCCUUCAAAAGCUCGAAUCUCUCUAAAAGACUAAUCCUAAUUCCUAAUAUGGCCUUAGGCAACCUCCUUGAAGUCCAUUGGACAUGAUUUUUGACCAAUAGGAAUGGAGAUUUGUAUCAUCUAUCUCCAUUCAUCCAUAUGGAUGCCUUAAUCAUUCUUUUUGCUACCAAAAUCUCUCUUCAAUUUUUUUUUGUAUAAGAUUCACAUAAUAUUUGCUCAUAUUAUUAAGUAAAUUAUACAUUAAAUAUAUAAUCAUACUAUUUUUAAAUGAUAGCUAAACCACAACAUGAUAGCGUUGACUUUUCAAAGGCAUUCUUUAUAAAAAUAGAUGCAUCAAACUUUACUUUGAAUGUCAUAUUAUCACAAAUAAGAACAAAUAAUAAACUUCAGCUAGUAGCUUUUCAUUCUAAGAAAUUUUUAGCAAUCGAGAUUAACUAUGAGAUCUAUAACAAAGAGCUUCUUAUAAUUAUAGAUUAUUUUUCAGAUUGACAUCAUUAUUUAAAAGGUACGUUUAGUCCAAUCAUCAUAUAUACAGAUCACAAGAAUUUCCAAUACUUCAUAUCAACAUGUGUAUUUAAUCAUUAUUAAAUCAAUUAGAGUAUGUUUUUAUUAAGAUUUGAUUUUAAGAUCACAUAUUAAGCUAGAAAACAACAAAGUUUAUCAAACUUCCUCUCUAGACAUUCUUAUCUUGCAUAAAAAGAAAGAGAUGCAUCUUUUAAUCAACAAAGAAUAAUUUUCUUAAAUCUUGAGGAUUUUUAUCUUCAAGUAAUGAAAUCAAUAUUGAUUAUUGAUCCAACUUUUGUCAAACAAAUUCAAUCAAGUAUGUCUUCAGAUCUUCUUAUUUAUGAUAUGAAUAAUCCUUCUUUCAAGUCUCAUGAUACUUCCAAAUUUGAAUUCAAAAACAACCUACUUUAUUUCAAAUGAUGCUUAUAUGCUCCAAAAGAAUAAGCACAUUUACGUGUUUUUCAAGUAUACCAUAAUUUUCCAAUAGCUCAACAUUUUGAAUACAACAAGACUUUAGAGUUGAUAUCUAGAUAUUUUUGGUGGUCACAAAUAUAGAAGGCAGUCAAAGAUUUUGUUUAAUUAUGUGAUAUUUGCUCAAGUUAAAAAAACUCCUUGUCAUUGAUCUUACGGACUUCUUCAGCCAUUACCUAUUUUAAAAUAAUCAUGGUCCUUAAUUUCUAUGGAUUUUAUCAUGGAUCUUCUAAUCUCAAAUUUGUAUGAUUUUAUAUUUGUGAUAGUAGAUCGUUUUACAAAGAUAGCAAAUUUUGUACUAUGUACAAAAUCUAUCACAUGUGAAAAAAUAGCCAAGCUUUUUCUUGAUAAUAUCUAUCAAUAUUAUAGAUUGUCCAAGGAAAUUAUAUUAGAUAAGGAGACUUAAUUCAUAUGAAAAUUUUGGAGCACCCUUUUCAAGAUUCUAAAGGUAGACAUAAAACUAUCUUUGGCCUUUCAUCUUCAAAUUGAUGGAUAGAUGGAGCAUAUAAAUCAAGUUUUGGAGCAAUAUUUAAGGCGUACCAUCAAUUAUCAACAAAAAAAUUGGAGAACCUUCUUGUCAUUAGUAGAGUUUAUUUAUAAUAAUAUGAUGCAUUCUCCUAUGAAAUAAACACCUUUCUUUACCAAUUAUGGUUAUCAUCCACGACUUGAUACUUUUGAUUUUUUAAAAGUUGAUAAACUUACGGUAGAAUAUUUGACAAAUUGUUUGUUCAAGCUAUAUGCAAUAAUAAAAGAAUAAUUAAAGGAAGCUCAAGAACAAUAAAAGAUCAAUGUGAAUGCCUUUCAAAAGAAACAACCACAAUUUAAUGUAGGUAAUAAGGCAUGAUUACUUUGUUGUAAUAUCAAGACUACUCAUCUUGUUGAUAAGUUGGAUUAUUGUAAGCUUGGACCUUUUCCUAUUUGUUGACAAAUCAAUCCAGUUGCUUAUUAAUUACAUCUAUUGGAGUCCAUAAAAAUCCAUCAUAUCUUCUAUAUAUCUCUUCUUGAACCAUACAAGACUAGAAAUAUACCAAAAAGAAGACAAGUUCUAUCUUUUCCUAUAGAAGUAGACAAUAAUGAAGAAUUUGAAGGAGAAGAAGUUCUAAACUCAAGGCAACACCGAAAUAAAUUUGAAUAUCUUGUCUAUUUGCCUGGAUAUGAUAUUAGUGAAUGCUCAUGGAAGCCAACAAAAAAUCUUGCAAAUGCAAUAAAAAAGGUGGAGGCUUUUCAUCAAUAACAUCCAUUAAAAUUAAAAUGAAGACCUUCCCUAUAAAAGAAAUAAGAUUUAGGCAAGAUAGCAGUCUAUUUUCUAUCCUUAUUGUAGCUGCUUUGUAUUUGUGAUAUUAAGGAAAUGGAGAAUCAACAACUAGCGGAUUUAACUCAAAAAUAUAAUUUCAACUCAUUAUUUUUACAUGGUAGCCAAAUCACAACAUGUCAACAUAUUUAUAUAAAAAUCAUAGAUGAUUAUUUUAGAUUUAUCAUGAUUAAAAAUAUAUAAUUCAAAAAUAGAUUAAAUUUCUUGUAGUCUUGAUUUUUUUGAAAAUAUAACUAAGAGUAUAGUUGAACAAGUAGAAAUUUAUAAGUCUAGUAUAAUUAAACAUAUAUUUGUAAGUGUAGGAGCUUUCUUGCAUGUUGUAAAAAAAAGAUUAUUUUGUGUCACUUAUAUUGUACUUGUUUCUAAUAGUGAAAAGACUUCAAGUAGAAUUCCAAGUCAAUAUUAAGAUUUUUAAGAUAUAUUUGAAAAAAAGAAUGCAAAUACUUUACGAGAACAUUGUCCCUAUGAUUAGUCAAUUGACCUUCAAGAAGAAGCUCAAUUGCCGUUUGGACCAAUUUAUAGUUUAUCACAAAAUGAGUUGGAUGAACUUAAAGAGUAUAUUGAAGAAAAUCUAGUCAAGAACUUCAUACACCAUUCCAAAUCUUAAGUACAAGCUCUAAUUUUAUUUAAGAAUAAAAAAGAUAAUUCAUUACAAAUGUAUUUUAAUUAUUGAAGAUUCAAAAAAAUCACCAUGAAAAAUAGAUAUCAGCUAUCUUUAAUAUUUAAAAUUUUUGAUAAGUUGAAUCAAACUAAGAUCUAUAUAAAAAUAGAUUUAUAUGGGACAUACAAUUUGGCAUGCAUCAAAGAAGGAGAUGAAUGAAAAACUACAUUUCAAAUAAGAUAUGGAUAUUUUGAAUACAAUGUCAUGCCUUUUGGACUUACAAAUGUAUUAGUAGCUUUCCAACAUCUAAUGAAUGAUAUUUUUUAAGAUUUUUUAGAUGACUUUAUUGUCUAUCAAUUAAAUAUUUUAAUCUAUUCUAAAAACACAAAAGACCAUGAACAACAUGUUUGUUGUGUAUUACAAAAACUAAGAGGUACGAGACUCUAUGUCAAAAUAGAAAGUAUUUAUUUCACACUACUCACGUUGACUUCUUAGGAUAUAUCAUUUCAAAUGAUAGACUUAUAAUGGAUACUAAGUUUAAACUAUUAUACAUUGAAUAUCAAAAAUAAUAAAAAAUAUCCAAUAUUUUUUGAAAUUUGCCAAUUACUAUUGGAUCUUCAUCAAGAACUUCUCUCAAAUUGCAACUUCAUUUAUAUAUUUGACUUAUAAAGACAAACUUCAAUAGAAUCAAGAAGCAAAAGAAGCAUUUAAAGCGUUGAAGUUAACCUUUAUUUUUGCACCAAUCUUAUAUUGGGUUGACUUUUUUAAGUCAGUUGUAAUGGAAACAAAUGUAUCAGACUUAUCUUUGGAUGUCAUAUCAUCAUAAAUAGAAAAAAAUGAUAAACUUUAUUCAAUAGGUUUUUAUUCAUAAAAAUUCUCAAUGGCAAAGAUCAACUAUAAGAUUCACGAUAAAAAACUUCUUACAAUUGUGGAUUUGUUUCAAGAAUGGCACCAUUAUUUAGAAGGCACUUUUAAUCCAGUCAAUUUUUAUAUUGACUAUAAGAAUCUUGAAUAUUAUAUAUAAGUAUGUAUUUUGAAUCAUCACCAAGUCCAUUGGAGCAUGUCUUUGUCAAGAUUUGAUUUUAAGAUUACUUAUCAAUCCAAAAAAUAACAAGGUUUGUCAAACUUCUUUUGUAGAUGUAGUCAUAUUAUAUAAAGUCUUACUCAAGAAUAUAUCAGACACUUGAUUGUAGAAGGUAGAAUAGAAAUUACAACAAAAAAAUCCUAACUUUAAUAGAAUACUAAAUAAAUUAUAAUUAAAUCUUAUCAAUAUUAAACAAGCUUUAAAUAAAUUCAAAAGAACUUAAAGAAAUUACAAAAGAAACAAUAAGAAAACUUAAAAAGAAUUAUAAAAAAAUCUACAAUAAAUCUUAAAAGAAUCUCUAAGAAAUCCUAAAGAAAUAUUAAAAUAAUCAAAAAUAUAUCUUAAAUAAAUCUCAACCAAGUCGUAACUUAAUUUUAGUUGAAACUCUAAUAGACUUCAAUCAAAUCUUAGGCCAAAUCUUAAAUCCAAAAUCCUAAAAAAAUCCUAAAUCUUAGUCUAAUCCACAACCCUAAUCAAACCUUAACCAAAUCCUAAGCAAAUUCUAAAUUCUAAAUCUUAAGUAAAUCCUAAAACCUAAAUUCUAAAUUCUAAAUCUUAAGUAAAUCUUAAAUCCUAAAUUCUAAGUAAAUCUUAAACAAAAUCUUAAAUCCUAAUCAAAGCUUAAUCAAAUCUUCAAUCCUAAUCCAACCUUAAUCCUAAACCAAAUCCUAACCAAAAUCUAACCAACUCAAUCUAAUUCUAACACAAUUUAGAACCUCAAUAUCUAUUAAUUAAACUAUUGAUCUUAAUUAAAAUUUUAUAUACUUUUCAAUAAUAUAGUUAGCAACAAACAUAUAAAAUUUGAAGAUAAUUGUACUUACCAAAUAGAAGAAAAAUCCUAAAAUCCGCUCAAGUAUUUGCCGACCUCCUAUUCCAAUUUGAAUAUUAAACUUCUAAUGCCAAUAUCUCCUUUUCAAACUGUUUAAUAAUUCUUAAAAUUCACAAAUAUAUAGAAAAUCAAGUCUAUUAAUUUUAUAUUUAUAUUAACUCCAGUCCAACUAAUAGAUUGCUAAAGAUCUUAAAAAUCCUAACUAUCUUUCAAAAUCUAAUUUCCAAAACCUCAACCUACUUGAAAUUCAGUAACCUUUAAUUCAAUUGUUCGAUAAAGCUCAAAUUCAUAUCGUAUAUUUUAGACAACUAACCACAUUUAUAUUCAAAAUUUAAACUAUAAAACUACUACUAAACUUAUGAAAUUUUUCAAAACUUAUAAUCUUUUUAUUUCACAAAUUCUAGAAUCAACCAAAAUAACUAUGACUUUGAAAAGCUCUUAUAAAAUCAUUACAUACUCAAAUCACUCCAAAUUAAUAUUUAAAAAAAUCCUAUGAAGUCUGCUUUUAAAUUCCACUCUUCAAUUUAUAAAAAAUUCUUAGAGUUACUUUCAAUACCUAGUUUUGUACCUUGGGAUUUGAUUUUGAUCCAAUAUGAUAACAGGUCUUCUUUGGAUAUCAAGUUUUGCCUUUUUGAUUUAAUUUUUACUGAAAUCAACUUUUGACUUCUUCUUACAUAUGUUUAUAUUCUUUAUUUUUCUAAUCUACUUUAUUUUGCUUUAUUUAUGGCCUUAAAAAGUAAAUAGAAGCCUACUUUAUAAAAAGGUGGCAUUUAUACCUUUAGUUUUAUUUUUUUUUAGACUAUUGUUUAUUUUCUAAGAUAAUUUGCUACAAUAUUUGAAAUAAGAUCUUCUAUAAUAUAAUAAUUUCUUCAUACUUUUCACUUAUUAGUCAUGUUAUAUCAUAUCAACGUUCUUAUCUUAUACUAAAAGAAGGAGAUUUAUCUCUUGAUCAAGAAAGAACAAUUCUCUUAAAGCCAAAGCAUUUUCAUCUCUUAGUAAUUAAAUAAAUAUUGAAUAUUGAUUCAACUCUUCUCAAGCAAAUUGAAUCAAGUAUAUCCUCUGAUCCUCUUCUUCAUGAUAUGAAGAAUCUUUCUUUUAAAUUUUAUGAUAUUUUUAAGUUUGAAUUUAAAAAUAAAUUAUCUUAUUUUGAAGGAUACUUAUAUAUUUUAGAAAGAAAUGUACAUUUACAUAUUCUUUAAAUAUAUCAUGACUUUCUAGCAACUAGACAUUUUGCAUACAACAAGACUUUAGAACUUAUAUCUAGAGAUUUUUGGUAGUCACAAAUGUAGAAGGCAGUGAAAGACUUUGUCUAGUCAUAUAACGUUUGUUCAAGAUCAAAAACUCCUUGUCAUUGACCAUAUGGACUUGUCCAACCAUUACUCAUUUCAAAACAAUCAUAAUCAUUUAUUCUUAUGGAUUUUAUCGUAGAUCUUUCAAUCUCAGAUUCUUAUGAUUUUAUAUUUGUGAUAGUAGAUUAUUUCACUAAGAUAGUAUUCAAGAAAAAGAAGUUUAAAAGCUACAAACACUUAGCAUUAGUAAAGAUUGUAUUCUAAGAGAAGUGUGAAAAAAGAUAUCUCUUACUUCCAACACCCUUUACUUAUAAGUGGAGUUUACAUCCCAAGAAUAUAGACUUCAUCUAGAAUCACCUUCAUCCUUUCAACUAGAUCUAGAUUCAUCUUAAUCUAGCUACCACCUUAAAAUCCUAGCCAUUGCCAUAAUAACUUCUUUCAAUGCUUUGCUACCUUUUGAUUAUUAGCAACUUACUAUGAUUAAUCUUUAUUUGUUGAUAACUAAGUAAGAAAUUAUUGAUCUUCAACACUCUCACUUUGCUAAUUUUUAAAAGAUUUUUAAUCCUAAUCUCUGAAUCAAGUUAUGAUGUCUAUUCUUUAGUAAUGUCUUUGUAAGCACAUCAGUAAGCAUGUCAUUUGUUGCACAAUAUUUUAUACAUAUUAUUCCAUCUUCAAUCUUCUCUUGUAUUAAAUAAUGUUGAACAUCAAUGUCCUUGGUCUUUGAAUGGUGUUUUGGAUUCUUGGCAAAUAAAAGAUAUCGUUGAUUGUUACACAUAAUUAGAAUUGCUUCUAAUUGUACUAGAUUAAUGUCUUCUAAGAAUUACCUUAUCCAACACACCUCUAUUAUACAAUGACUUGCUGUCAUGUACUCUACCUCCAUCGUUGAACUUGCAAUGGUAGGUUGUCUCUAACAAUUCCAUGAAAUGAUUCUCACUCCAAUAAAGAAGACAUAUUCUAUUGUGGAUCUUCUAUCAUUUGCAUCUCUAGUCCAAUCCGCAUCACAAUAACGUUGUAAGUCAAUAUUUUUACUACCAAGGCACAAUUUGAAGUCCUUUGUAACUUUUAAGUACCUCAAUAUUUUCUUUAUCAUUUUUCAAUGUAUUAGUUCAACUUUAGACAUGCAUUGGCUUACAACACUUAUUACAUAUGUAAGAUCCACUCUUGUGGCCACCAUUGCAUACAUGAGUGAGCCUACUACUGCUUUAUAUGGAACACUUUGUAUCUCACCUUCAACUUGUGCAAACUCCUCAUCCAUGAAGUUUAUCAACUUCAAAUUUGCCUCCAAAGAUAUUCCAAUGGGCUUGUAUUCCUCUAUUUUGAAUUGUUUCAACACUUCUUCAAUGUACUUAGUUUGGCUCAUUGUAAUAGUCUUGUUACUAUGAUCUCUUACAAAUUCCACUUCCAAGUAGUAGUACAACUCUCUCAAAUCACUCAUCUCAUAUUUAUUUUUUUUAAUUUGGCCUUCAUUCAAUCCAUCUUUUCCAUAUUGUUAGCCAAGCUGAUCAAAUCAUCAACAUAAAGGAUUAUAAUUAUCAAGAACUCUCUAGAUUAUAUCACAUAAAAUGAAUGAUCAGCUUCACUCCUCACAAACCCUUCAUUCACAAAGAAGGUAUUAAUUCAUUUGUACCAUGCCCUUGGUGAUUGUUUCAAUCUAUAUAAGGAUUUCUUCAAUUUUCAUACAAGAUGUUCUUUGUCUUGUUGUACAAAUCCUUGAGGUUGGUCCAUAUAGAUGUCUUCUUGCAAUUCUCCAUUCAAAAAGGCCGUCUUUACAUCUAUUUGGUGUAUUUUCAAAUCCAUUGCUUGCCCAAUUGCUACAAUGGUCCUAAUGGUGGUGAAUUUGGCAAUGGAUGCAUAAAUCUCAUUGAAAUCAAUUCCAGCAACUUGUGAAUAUCUUUUGGCAAGUAAUCUUACCUUAUGCCUCACCACUACACCUAUUGCAUCUCUUUCAGUCCUAAACACCCACUUACAACCAAUACUAGAUCGAUUUGUUGGAAGACGUGCCAAUUUCUAUAUAUCAUUGUCCAUAAGAGUUUAGUAUUUUUUUUUCCAUAGCCUUCUCCCAUUUGAUUGCAUCUUCAUACUUCAUAGCAUCAUACAAAGAUAAUGGAUCAAUAAGAAGAGUAAAAUUUGCAUGUUCUUCACUUACUUGAGGAAAGAUGUGAUCUUUCUACCAUUCGCCAUGUUACCUUCUUUCUCUCAAAAGAUAUCUCCUUUCACUUAUAGAAGAACAUUCACCUUAUUAUACUCUAUGUUCUUUUUCAACCUUCUUUUCUCUUAAACCUUGUCGUUUCUCACUCAAUGGUUGGUACUCUUAGUUAUCAUCAUUCCAAUCUUCAAUAUCUUCAUUUCUUUCAUUAUUGGUCUUAGCAAUUGUAGGAGCCUUCAACUUUUCAACCUUCUUUGGCUUUUCAUCUUCAUCAUCUUCAUUAUCUUCAUAUUCUUGUUUCUUUGCUGAAUUCAAAGAUGUAUCCAAAAAUACACCAUUACUCCCACUUAAACACAUCUUUAAGUGCUCACAAGUACUUUUAUGCUCCAAAAACUCAACAUCACAAAUUUUGAUGUUCUUGGUUUUCAAGCACAUUAGCUUAUAUGCCUUAGUACCUUCACAAUAACCAAGAAAUACACACUUUGUACCUUUUGCAUCAAGUUUGGACCUCAUGCAAUUUGGUAUUUUUACAUAUGCAAUGCAAUCAAAGGUCCUCAUAUGAGAAAUACAAGAUUGUCUCCCACUCCAAGCUUCUUGUGGUGUCAUUGAUGCAAGAAUACUUAUUGGACACCUAUUUCUUGUAUACACUACAUUCACCACAACUUCCGUCCAAAAUUCAUAGCUAAGGUUUUGAGCAUGAAGCAUGCUCCUUGCCAUCUCUACUGUGGUUCGAUUUGCCCUUUCAGUAACACCAUUUUGUUGUGGAGUGUAUGGAGUUGUGGUUUCUCUAGUAAUUCCUUCAUUCUUCAAAUAAACAUCAAAUUUCUUAGACAUAUAUUUACCUCUAUUGUCCGUACGCAGUACCUUGAUUUUGCAUUCACUUUGUUUCUCAACAUGUGCAUUAAACUCCUUAAACCUCCAAAAGCAUUCACUCUUGGCUUUAAGAAUGUAGAUCCAAAUCUUUCUUGAAUAAUCAUCAGUGAAAGUGAAAAAAUACCUUGAUCCUCCAACACUUGUGUAAACUCAGCAAAUGUGGCUACCUCCACUCCAUUCACCUUUUUAUAAAUGAGGAAGUACAAAUUUUCCUCUUUCAAGCUUUUGAAGACCUUGUCUCUAUUCAAUGUUCUUACAAAACAUUUAUUCAUGUCAAAUUAAACUUUAAAACCUUCCAUUAUAAGUUUAUUCAUCGAAAGUAGGUUUUGCUUCAUUUUAGGCAUAUGAAGGACGUUUUUGAGUCUGAUCCUAUUGGUUUGUCCAUUCACAACCACCUCCACCAUAAUAGAGCCAAUUUCAAUGGCUUUACAUAUGCCACUAUCCACCAACACCAUGUUUGAUACUGGAAUAGCCUCAUAAGUGUCAAAUAAAUACUUAUAAAGUGUCAUGUGCUUGGAACAACCUGAAUCCACAAUCCAUCUUGACAUGUAAAAUUACACCCCUCAAUCCAAAUUAUAAGAUGGUCUCAAUCAAGAAUUGCUUGUAAUAGGUGGUGUGAAGUGGAAGUAACAAACAACAAGAACUAAAGAAGAAUAAUACAAAACAAAUAAAACAAGUGUAAUCAAGCAAUUAUACACUACAAAACGAGUCACAGUCUGUUCACUAGAUUUUUACUUAAUAAAAAAUAAAAAAUAAAAAAUAAAAGUAUAUUUUUAGAAAUUUAAUUUUUUUAUCCUUUCAAUGACGUAAAAAAUAUAUAAAUCCGAGUUAUUAUGAGUAAAUUAUGAAGGAUUGAAAAUAACAAGUAACAAAUGGAAAGUUAAGUGAAAAUAUUUUACCUCAAGGAUAACUUGUUAAUAGAUCAAGGGUUCGAACCUCACCAAGGCUCACAUGUACUGUAUGUAGAUUGUCUAAAGAGGCCUUGAAGCCUUAGUCUUAUCUUCCUACCUACAUCCAAGGUGCUACAAUCCAUAUGGGACUUGUGCACCUCCCUUCUUAUAAGGACUAUACUAGCUGCUGGUCCUCCUAUUUUCUACUAGUAGAAUUAAUAUUUUUGUAUUUUUGACUUCACCUUGGUUUUCAAAAACACUCAAUCAGCCUAGAAACAUUUUGUGGCCUUCAAACCUUGCUCCAUGUCUUCAUAAUGGCUCCUCAAGUGGUAAAAUUUAAUUUUAUCAAGGUCUUAAAAAUUACCCUAAAAAUUCAUAGAAAAUUCUAAAUAAAUUCUAAAUAAAUUCUAAAUAAAUUCUAAAUAAAUUUUUAUAAUAUUUCUAUAAUUCUAAUAGCAAUUUAAGGAUAUAAUUUCCUAUAUUAUUUAUUUUUUAUAGUAAUGGAAUCAAUUUAAAUCUACUAUAAAUUCUACUUUCUAUAUAAAUAACUAAAAAGAUAUGAUGUUCUUUCUCAUACUUCUUUUAAGUACUAACUAAUACUUAUAGUUUUUGUAUAAGUAAUACAUAUAGAUAUAAGAUCAAUAUAAAUAUUGAUUUUAGUAACUACUCUUUACUCCUCAAUAAUAAGUAAAAAUACUAAACCAACUAAAAUAAUUGCCUCGAAGACUUACUAAGACUCCAUUUCUUCUCCACUAAUACUAUUCUUCUUUCUUUAACAUCUUCUAAGCACAUCUUUACCUAAUAAUUUUAAUUUUGGUACUCUACAUGCAUUCUUUUUUCCUAAAACAACUAGUGAGUCAAUCUUAUGACUUACAAACAACAUCUAUCGCUAUCAUAAAUUACCUAAAGAUAUUAUAUUAGAUAGGUGAAGUCAAUUUAUAUUAAUUUUUUAAAAAAUACUUGUUAAGAUUCUAAAAGUAGACAUAAAACUAUCUUUAGCUUUCUAUCUUCAAAUUGAUAGGCAAACAAAGCGUUGUCAUGUUGUAACAUGACUAUAUGGUGAAAAUAUAAAUAAAAAAGAUUUUAUUAAUAUUUAGUCAUCUUGGAUGUUAGAAAUAGUGGCCAAUUCCAGUGCCAAUAUUCAGGGGGCCAAUUAAUGUCACCCCAUUGCAAGCUAUACUACCGUACAUGACAUCAGCAAUAUGCUCCACCGACAUCAUCGAACCAAGUAUCCUCCAUAUCAACAGGACAAUCAGAAUCAUUUUCUAACCCUACAUGGAACAAGCCUAGUAGGUAUAUACCAAUGGAGACACCCAAUAUGCUUGAUGGAGGUGCAAGAAGACCACUUCAUUAUUUUUGUUGCAGACAGAUUGGUCAUUAUGCUAGUGAAUGUCUCAUCCCAGAACCAAUGACGAUUACACGCUAGUGUGUGGAACUUGCAAGCAAUUGGGACAUACUUAUCAUCAAUGUAAUGCUCCGUUCAAUUUCAAUAAUCAAGAUCAGUAGAUCCAAAGCCAAGAAAAAAUUGAUGAAAUAAAUUGAAGUCCUUAAGAUACUCCGAUAAAUUGGACAGAAUAUGUUCAAGCCGCUCUUACCAGGAGUCAGCAAAAAGAGAAAGGAUCAAUUCAAUAUUUGGGUGAGCUUGAUGCGAAGGAUCAAUUUGACUCAAUUACGGGGACAUCCAAUCCAAGUCCUAUUACGAGCCUCUUACCUAAUAUGAGAUCUGACUCGGUCGGGCAGUCCAAUGAGGUCCCGAUUACGGAGGCUUCGGUUCCAUUUCAAGUUGUUUCCUUCUCUAUGUCAUUUCCAAGAAACGUCCUUUUCGUGGAAAGAUCCUCUUAGAGGUGGGAAUUCCAUGGAAGCAUGGUCUCUUGUUCCAAUUCGGAGUCUAGGGCGGAAGAAUAGGGGACCUCAUGAAGUUAAAAGAAAAGAGAGGAAAAAGAAGAGGGCAUUCGGAGAUUGAGAUUUUGGGAUUGGAGAAUUAGGUUCAAGCUCCUUUCAAAGGUAUAGAAUUGGAUUUCAUAGGAUUUAGGAGGACUUUACAAUCGUUGCUCAAAAUCAGUGUUUGUAUUGGUGAAUUGGAUUUUUGUAAUAAAGCAAAGGCUAGCACUCUUGAUUGUUUUGCGAAAUUGGAGAGACAUCUGUGGUUGAAAUUUUAGAGGUAUCUAGAUAGUUGAGUAUACCAAGUGCAUACAAAAAUUUGUAUUAAUCUAAUGGUAUAGAUAGAAGAUAUUUGAUCAUUAGUGUAAGGAGAUAUCAAAAGUUGGUAUAACAAAUAACAAAAAAAUCCAUGCUUAUAAUAUCUAAAAGCUAUUAAAAAUAAUGUUUCUAAGUACUUUGUAUUGGAAUUAAGCUUUUACAUUGAAAUCCAAAAUAUUUUGUAUUUAGAUGGUUGAAACCCACUAGACUACUUGGAUACUUACAAAACAUUGUUUUAUCUUCCAUAGCCAGAUGCUCGAUGCAUUCUCAAGCUAGAUAGUACGUAAUACGACAGCAUAUAAAUUAAGCUUUGAAGUAAUAUUUGACGUAUAUCAUUAAUUAUUAAGAAGAUUAUUAGACAAUUCUUUUCCUAUUGGAAAAAAUUUCUUAUAAUAACACGAUAUAUUCUUCUAUGUAAUAAAUAUCUUUCUUUAUUAAUUAUAAUUAUCAUCCACAAUUUGAUACUUUUGACUUUUUUAAAUUUGAUAAUCUUUUGACAAAAGAUUUUAUAAAUUAUUUAUUUGAGCUAUAUAUAAUAAUAAAGGUGCAUCUAAAAGAAACUCAAGAACAACAAAAGAGCAAUGCAGAUACUUAUCACAAGAAACAACCUCAUUUUCACAUUGGUGAUAAGAUAUGGUUACUUUGUCAUAAUAUUACAACUAUUUGCCCUUAAAACAAAUUAGACUAUUGUAGACUUUGAACCAUUUUUUAUUUAUAAACAAGUCAAUCCAAUUGCUUAUUGAUUAUCUCUACCAAAGUCUAUGAAAAUCCAUCUCAUAUUUCAUGUGUCUCUUUUAGAGCCAUAUAAAAUAAUGAAUAUCCUAGAAAGAAGACAAAUACCAUCGCCUCUUAUAGAAGUAGAUAAUAAUCAAGAAUUCAAGAUAAAAGAAGUCUUAGAUUCAAGGUAAUACCGACAUAAGUUAGAAUAUCUUAUUUAUUGGCACAGAUACAAUAUUAGCAAAUGUAUAGGAGAAGCAACAAAAAAUCUUACAAAUACAAUAGAGGGGGUCAAAGUAUUUUAUUAUUGACAUCCAUCAAAAUCAAGAUGAAGGAUAGCAAACCUUUGCUAUUAAAAAAAAACAAUUUAAAAAAAAUUACAUUCUAUUUUCUAUCUUUAUUUGUACUUUUUAUAUAAUUAUGGCAUUAAGAAGAUAGAAAACCAAUAGCCAAUGGAUUGAAAUUAAGAGCCAUCAUUAGCUGACUUAUUGGAUGAAACAUUGCAAUUCUCACAUCCUUCAAGCUGACAUGAUAGGAAUAAAGACCUUCAAAAAUGACAUGUUUUUUUUUAAUAGACAAUAAGAUAUAAUGCAUUUGAUAUCACAACCUGAGAAGAGGCUCUUGAUAUUUAGUGAUUUUAUUGAAAGUAGGUACAACUCUUGAUAGUGUUAUGAAUGUUAUAUUUAAAGAAGGUUUUGAAGGUUUUAAUAUUGAUCAAAUAAUAGAGAGGUCUUUGUGUCAUAAAAUAAAACAUUAUCAAUGGCUGAAAGGACCUAUCAACUACCUUUGAAGGGAACAAAGAUCAAAGUAUGUGGCAAAUAUAAUUUACCACAUCUUAGAAUUCAUCAACAUGUGAUUACUACUCCUUGUGGAAUUCAUCUUUAGAAGGAGAAAUAUUUUCAUGGAUAUAUAUUUAUUAUAAUUAUAACCUAGAUAAUAUGAAUAAAUAAAAAUAAGUAGAAGUAGAUUAAUUUUAUAAUAAUUUUUAAAAAAACUUCUUAGAAGCUUCUUAAACAUUCACAAAAAAAAAUGAUCCAAGUCUACAACAAUCCAACUUGUGACAAAGGCAAAUAGUUUUAAUAUUACAAAAAAGUAACCAUAUCUUAUUACCAACAUCGAAAUAAGGUUGUUCUUUGUAAUAAGCAUCCGAAUUGCUCUUUUGUUGUUCUUGAGCCUCUUUUAGAUACACCUUCAUUGAUGUAUGUAGUUCAGAUAAAUGAUUUGAUAAAUCUUCUAUUACAAGAUUAUUAACUUUUAAAAAUUCAAAAGUAUCAAAUCAUAGAUAAUAACUAUAAUUAGAAAAGAAAGGUAUUUAUCAUAUAAAAAAAUGUACUAUAUUAUUAUAAAAAAAUUUACGAAUAGCAAAAAGAUUAUCUAAUCAUCUUAUUGAUAAUUAAUAGUAUACCUCAAAUAUUCCUCCAAAAUUUGAUUUACAUACUUUUUUUUCAUGAGUUUAAAGAUAGAAAGUUGAAGAUAGUUUUAUGUCCACUUUUAAAAUCUUAAAAAGUAUUUUUUAAAAUCUUAAUACAAACUGACUUUUCCUAUCUCAUAUAAUAUCUUUAGAAAAUCUAUGAUAGUGAUAGAUGUUGUCAAAAAAAAUUUGGUUGUUUCUACACUUGUGAUAGUUUUUGUACAUGAUACAAAAUAUACCAUCUUGGUAAAAUAAUAUCAAGGACAUGAAUCUCAAAGAAAGAGAAUCCUCAAUAUAGUCUUCUAUCACAAAAAACAACUAGAAAGUCACUCAAAAGGUGAUGUAAUAUUAAUUAGAAUGGCUAUUGCCAAAAAUAGGAAGACUAGAAAGUCUUGAAACAAGACUAAGAGUACAAAGCCAUUGACAAGAAAGAAAAAGGCUUCACUCUUGCCUCUAUAUAUACUAUCUACGUGGCAAUGUCUUAUAGGACCUCCAACAUAUGUUGACUUUGCUAGCCACAUGUCUUAUCUUACAAGGCAAGUUAUCUAUGUAUGUACCACAUAGUUGGCUUAUUCUACAAGCUAUUACAUGGAGAUAACUUGUUCCAUAAGCUAUCAAUACAUGGUUAGCUUUUUGGCCAAGUUUCUAACCUAUAAAUACAUCUAAAGUCAAAACCGCGUCUGUGAAGACUUUAUAAAAUUAUUCUAUAUUUACCUACUUCUACUUAAUCAUAUAAGUAAUUAUUGAGGUAAUUGUAUAUGUCCGUGACAUUAUCUCCCUUCUAGAGACGAGUUCCACCAAGAGUAGUCUUCAUAUGUUGAGGAAGUCCAAGAUGCAGCAAAUUAUAUUUGCUGGAUACUCCGAUCUUUGCUCUCUUUGAAGAUGGUUGAUAGGUCCUCUCAACCAUCUAUAGUGUCCCAUACCAAAGCAAGAAGACUACCCUAUUAUUUGAUUAUUGUUAAGGCCUUCGUAACUUCUUUCAAAUAAAAUAUUUGGAACAUCAUGAAGAAUUGUUCCUACCUCUAAUAAAAUCACUAAACAUCAAGAGUCUCUUCCAAGGUCGUGAUACCAAACACAUUGUAUCUUUCCAUCUAUUUGAGGAAGGAUAUGUCAUUCAUGAGGAUCUUCAUCUCAAUUCUAUCGUCUUCAAGGUUGUGACAAUUACAAUAUCUCGUCUAGUAAGUCUGCAAAUGAAAGCUUUUGAAUUGAAUCUACUAGUUGUUGGUACUCUAUUUCAUCACAAAUAUAUAAAAACUACAAUGAAAGAUAGAAGAUAAAAUGUUAUUUUUCUUUGAUGUUGUUUCUUUUAUAGCAAAGGUUUGUUAUUCUUCAUCUUGGUUUUGAUGAAUAUCGUUGAUGAAAGACUUCAAUUUUCUUUGUUGUAUUUGUAAGAUUCUUUGAUGGCUCCCAUGUGCACUCACUAAUAUCAUAUCCGCUCCAAUGAACAAGAUAUUUUAACCUAUUUAAGCGCCACCUUAAGUCUAAGACUUCUUCCACCUCAAACUCUUAGUUAUUAGCUACUUCUCUAGGAAGAGGUGGCAUUUGUCUUCUUCUCAAGAUAUUCACUGUCUUAUACAGCUCUAAAAGAGACACGUGAAAUAUAGGGUGGAUCUUUAUAGACUCCCAUAGAUAUAAUCGAUAAGCAAUAAUAUUGAUUUGUUCAUAAAUAGAAAAAGAUCUCAGCCUAUGAUAAUCUAAUUUAUCACAAAGACGAGUAAUCUUGAUAUUAUGACGAAGUAAUCAUACCUUGUCACCCAUAUUAUAUUGUAGUUGCUUCUUGCGAUAGACAAUCGUGUUGAUCUUUUGUCGUUCUUGAGCUUCCUUUAAUUGUAUCUUCAUUGUUGUAUAUAGCUCUGACAAGCAAUUUGGUAAAUCUUUUGCUAUAGGAUUAUGAACUUUUGAAAAGUCAAAAGUAUCAAGACGUAGAUGAUAACCAUAAUUGAUAAAAAAAAGGUGUUUGUUGAAUAAAAGAAUGUACUGAAUUAUUAUAUGCAAACUCUAUCAAUGGUAAAAGAGUUAUUCAAUCAUCUUGAUGACAGUAGAUAGUACAUCUCAAAUACUACUACAAAACUUGAUUUAUCCAUUUUGUUUGUCCAUCAAUUUGAGGAUGAAAAGCUGAAGAAAGCUUUAUAUCCAUCUUUAGAAUCUUGAAUAGGGUUCUCCAAAAUCUUGAUACAAAUUGAGUUCCCCUAUUCGAUAUAAUAUCCUUUGGCAAUCCAUGAUAGCGAUAGAUAUUGUCAAUGAAAAGCUUAGCUAUUUCUUCACAUGUAAUAGAUUUUGUACAUAGUAGAAAAUGUGCCAUCUUGAUAAAACGAUUAAUUAUAAUGAAUAUAGAGUCAUAAGAACCUGACAUUGGAGGAAUCGUGAUGAAAUCCAUAGAAACAAAAGACCAUGGUUGUUUUGGAAUGGGUAACGGCUGAAGAAGUUCGUAAGGUUAAUGAUGAGGAAUUUUUGAUCUUAAGCAAAAAUCAUAAGAUUGUACAAAAUCUUUGAUUGCCUUCCACAUUUGUGGCCACCAAAAAUCCUUGGAUAUUAGUUUCAAAGUUUUAUUGUAUCCAAAAUGUCCUACUGCUAGAAAGUCAUGACAAGCUUGAAGAACACAUAAUCGAGCUUCACAUUCUAUAAUAUAUAGGUGUUCUUCAAAAUAUAAUAGAUUAUUUUUUAAUUCAAACUUGGAAGUAUCAUGAGACUUAGAGGAGGUAUCUUUCAUAUCUUGAACAAGAAGAUCAGAGGACAUGCUUGAUUGAAUUUGCUUCACAAAUAUUGAAUCAACAGUCAAUAUUGAUUUUAUAGCUCGAAGAUGAAAAUACUCGUGCUUCAAGAAAAUUAAUCUUUAUUGAUCAAAAGAUGUAUUUCUUUCUUUUGGUACAAAAUAAGAAUGUUUAGAAAGAGCAUCCGAUAAACCUUAUUAUAAUCUAGAUUGAUAAAUGAUCUUAAAAUUGAAUCUAGAUAAAGACAUGCUUCAAUGGGCUUGACGACGAUUCAAGACACGUUUUGACAUGAACUACUUGAGGUUCUUAUGGUCUGUAUAUAUGGUAACUAGACUUGACGUGCCUUCUAGAUAAUGAUGCCAUUUUUUUAUUUGAAUCAAUGAUUACAAGAAGCUCUUUGUCAUAGAUCUCAUAAUUAAUCUCAACUGCUCAAAAAUUUUGUUGAAUGGAAAGCUAUUCAGUGGAGUUUGUCAUUUGUUUUCAUUUGUGACAACACGACAUCUAUAGCAAAAUAUGACGCAUCUAUUUCCAUAAAAAAUGCCUUUGAGAAGUCAACAUAGCAUAAGAUUAGUACAGAAAUAAACUCCUUCUUUAAAGCAUCAAAUAAUGCUUCUGCUUCUUUAUUCCACUCAAAUUUGUCUUUACAAGUCAAACAUAUAAGUAGAGUUACAACUUGAGAAAAAUUCUUGAUAAAUAUUUUAUAGUAAUUAAUAAAGUCCAAAAAGCAUUGCCCAUCUCAUACUGUUCUUGGAAUCUUCCCAUCUAUGAUAGUUUGAACCUUCUUAGGAUCCAUCAUAAGGCCUUUGUUGGAAAUGAUGUAUCCUAAAAAUUCAAUUUGAGUAGUGUGGAAUACACACUUUUCUAACUUGGUAUAUAAUCUUGCAUCUCUAAGUUUUUAUAAUACGCAAUGAACAUGAAGCUCAUAUUCUUCUAUGUUCUUAGAGUAGAUUAGAAUGUCAUCUAAAUAGCAAACAAUGAAAUCAUCUAAAAACUCAAGAAAAAUAUCAUUUAUAAGAUGUUGAAAAACAGUCGGUGCAUUCGUGAGUCCAAAAGGCAUGGCAUUAUAUUCAAAAUGUCCAUACCUAGUUCAAAAAGUAGUCUUCCAUUCAUCUCCUUCUUUGAUACAAAUUAAGCUAUAUGUUCUUCGUAGAUCUAUUUUGAUAAUAUUCUUUACUUGAUUGAAUUGGUAAAGAAGUCUUAAAAUUAAAGGCAAAAAAUACCUAUUUUUUAUAGUGAUCUUAUUGAGUCUUCGAUAAUCUACACACAUUUGUAGAGAUCUGUCUUUCUUCUUCACAAAUAAGAUAGGAGCCCCAGUUGGAGAUUUAGAAUGGCAUGUGAAGUUCUUUGCCAAAUUUUCAUCAAUGUCCUCCUUUAAUGCAACCAACUCAUUCUGCGAUAAGCUAUAGAUUGGUCCAAAUGGUGGUUGAGCUCCUUCUUGUAGAUCAAUUGAAUAAUCAUAAGGACAAUGCUUGGGGAGAAUAUCUGUAUUUUUCUUUUCAAAAACGUCUUGAAAUUCUUGAUAUUGAUUAGGAAUAUCACUCAACAUUGUUUCACCAUUAAAAAUGGGUGUAGCAUAUAUAGCAAAAGAUGGUCCUUCUUUUGCAGCAUGCAUGAAAGCUUUUGCACCUACUAGUAAAGAUUUGGAUGUACUGAACUUACAUACUUCUACUUUACUAACGCAAUCUUAGAUUAUACUAUCAAGAAAGUUAAGGUUACAAGAAAUCCAAUAUAUUUGAGGAUUAUAUUUUUUUAGCUAUGAUAAUCCUAAAAUAAUUGGAUUAGAAGGAGAUUUUAUUAAAUUAAAUACUACUAUGCUAUUAUGAUCUUUAAUUGCUAUAUUUAAAGGAAUAAUUUCUUAGGUAACAUUUCUAAAAGAUAACAAACGACCAUCUAUGACUUCUACAUGUACGGAUUUAACUUUCUUCACUAAAGGUAUUUUUUGAUUUUUAGCAAAAUCUUUGUCUAUAAAACAUGUUGAGGCUCCUGAAUCUAACAAGACAAAGACUUUGUGAUUAUUAGGUCCUAAAUAUAUUUCUAUUAUAAAAUAAAGUGAGGAUUUGAAGAAAAGAUAGGACCUUUAAUAGGAGUUGCACAUGAUUCCAACCGCACGGUCCCUAUUGUAGCUGAAAAAACUCGUUUUGCGGUACAUUAUCUUCUUCGGUAAUUGUGCUCCUUAUUUUGUAAUUGCAUUGCUUCUUUGGAUAAUAUUGAGUAGUGUGCUUAACUUCUCCACAAUAUAAACACAACCUUUCUUGGCGACGUCGAGUCUUUUGCUGCUUUAUGAGAGGUUUAAAAUAUAUCAUAUCAAUUUGCAUUGGUUUCGACUUUGAAAAAUACAUUUUAGAAAAUUUGAGAGCUGCCUCUAUUACUUGACUUAUUUCUGUGCAACCAAAUCUUUGUUCUUAAUGCCUUUCAAAUAAAUGAUUGUCGCAUGUAAUGGCUUGAAUAAUAAAUUAUUCUAAAGAUUCUACUUUUGGUAUUUUUAAUAACAAAUCUUUGACACUAUCCUUCAAUCCAUAUCGAAAUUAGUUGAUAAGUGCUUUAUUAUUCCAGUCUAUGUCGGAAGCAAGGUUUUAGAAUUCGGAAGCAUAUAUUAAAACUGAUCGUGAUCUUUGUCAUAAGGAUAAAAGCUUGAUUUGUGCUACAUGUUUUUCAUCACUUUCUCCAAAUGUGGCCGUAAACACUUCUAGAAAUGAAUUCAAAUCAUAAAGGAGUCAUGAAUCUUUUUCCAUUAAAGGUGCAAAUCAAGAGAGAGCACUUCCUGAUAGUAGUGCGCCUAUGAAUCCAACUUGGAUAAAUCCAUCAAGGUAUUCGAAAGGGUGCAACCUUAGAUAGAGCUUGACUUGUUGCAAAAAUCUUCAAAAUUUUGAUCUUUUUCUAUCAAACUUCUCAAGCAUACUAAUCCUUGUCUCUGUCAUACUUGUAGAAACAAAACUCUCUAGAUUUAAUUGUGAUGUUGAUCUACUUGCUUCUUUCAAUUACACAACUUUUUACCAUAGACUUUGAACUUCUUCCAUAGACGUAGGCAUAAUACUUCCAUAAUUCACAUUGAAAAUACAUGAGAUUUCUACUUUUAGAGUGUUGACAAGCUCAUAAAGAUCUGCCAUAGUUGCAAAUCUAUUCUCAUUUCUGUUGAGAGUAGCAUCCAUAAUCUUUCCUUCCAUAGAAAACUCAAACGAAUUCAAAAGUUAAAUUAGAGGAGGGUAAUCCAUAACUUCUAAAAAUAAAUUCUACAAAGAAAGGUAAUCCUCUCUCUUUAAAAAAAAGAUUAGUAUUAAAAAACAAGAUUUUUUGUUUAAAGGUGAGUAGUCCGCAACCUUCAAAACACAACAAUAGAAAACGAGUAAUCCAUUCACUUCUAAAAUAAGACAGAAAUAAUAUGAUAGUACUCUUGUCAAACUAUCAAGGACAUGAAUCUCGAAGAAAGAGAAUCCUCAAUACACUCUUCAAUCACUAAAGACAACUAGAAAAUCACUCAAAAGGUGAUGUAAUAUUAACUAGAAUGGCUAUUGCUAAAAAUAAGAAGACUAGAAAGUCUUGAAACAAGAUUAAGACUAGAAAGGUAUUGAGAAGAGUGAAGAAGACUUCACUCUUACCUCUAUAUAUACUAUCUAACUAAGAGCUACGUGGUGAUGUCGUAUAGGACCUCCAACAUGUGUUGACUUUGCUAGCCACAAGUCUUAUCUUGCAAGGCAAGUUAUCUAUGUAUGUACCACGUAGUUGGCUUGUUCUACAAGCUACUACAUGGAAAUAACUUGUUCCACAAGCUACCAAUAUAUGAUUAGCUUUUUGGCCAAGUUUUUAACCUACAAACACAUCUAAAGUCAAAACCAUGUCUAUGAAGCUUCUAAGAAGCUUCUCUAGAAGAUUUUAUGAAAUUAUUCUAUAUUUACCUACUUCUACUUAAUCAUAUAAAUAACUAUUGAGGUAAAUAUAUAUGUCCAUGACAAAUAAUCUACUAUCACAAAUAUAAAAUCAUAAGAACUUGAGAUUGGAAGAUCCAUGAUAAAAUCCAUAAAAAUAGAAGACUAUGAUUAUUUUGAAAUGAGUAAUGGUUGGACAAGUCCAUAUGGUCAAUGACAAGGAGUUUUUGACCUUGAACAAAUGUUAUAUGAUUGGACAAAGUCUUUCACUACCUUCCACAUUUGUGACUAUCAAAAAUCUCUAGAUAUAAGUUCUAAAGUCUUAUUGUAUCCAAAAUAUCGAGCCACUAGAAAAUCAUGAUAUAUUUAAAGAACACAUAAAUGUACAUUUCUUUUUAAAAUCUAUAGGUGUCCUUCAAAAUAAAAUAAGUUGUUUUUUAAUUCAAACUUGGAAGUAUCAUGAAAUUUAAAAGAAAGAUUCUUGAUACCAUGAAGAAGAGGAUCAGAGGACAUACUUGAUUGAAUUAGCUUGAGAAGGAUUGAAUUAAUAUUCAAUAUUUAUUUGAUUACUUAAAGAUAAAAAUGCUUUGGCUUCAAGAAAAUUAUUUAUUUUUUAUUAAAAAACAUAUCUCUUUUUUUUAGUAUAAGAUAAGAAUAUCUAAAAAAGGUAAUUGACAAACCUUAUUAUUUUUUAGAUUGAUAAGUGAUCUUAAAAUCAAAUCUAGACAAAGACAUGCUCUAAUGGACUUAGCUGCAAUUCAAAACAUGUGUUGAUAUAAAAUAUUAAAGAUUCUUAUGGUUGGUAUAAACAAUGAUUGAAUUAGAAGCCUCUUUUAGAUAAUGGCACCAUUCUUGAAAGGAAUCAAUAAUUACAAGAAGUUCUUUGUUGUGAAUCUUAUAAUUGAUCUCAGCUACUGAAGAUUUUUAUCAAUGAAAAGAAAUUAGAUGAAAUUUAUCAUUUAUUUCUAUUUUUAAUAAUACAUCAUCUAAAAUAAAGUCUUAUAUAUUUUUUUUAAUAAAAAAAUGGCUUAAAAAAGUUGACAUAAUAGAAGAUUGAUACAAAACUAAAGGUUUUCUUUAAAACUUCAAAUGUUACUUUUGUUUCUUGAUUCUAUUGAAAUUUGUCUUUAUAAGUCAAACAUAUAAGUGGACCUACAAUUUGAGAUGGGUAUCUACAUUCUUCUUUUCAAAUAUAUCUUUAAAAUCUUGAUAUUGGCUUAGAAUGUCAUUUGAAGUCUUUCCACCAUUAGAAAUAGAUGCAAUAUAAAUGAUAUAAGAUAAUCUUUUUUUUUACAACAUACAAGAAAGCUCUUCCACCUAUAAAUAUAGGUUUAAUUGCACUAGACUUAUGACUUUCUACUUGAUCAACUAUACUCUUAAUUAUACUUUCAAAAAAGUCAAGACUACAAGAAAUUCAAUUUAUUUUUUAGUUAUAUUUUUCUAUCUAUGAUAAAUCUAAAAUGAUUUGAUUAAAAAGAGAUCUAAUAAUAUUAAAUAUUACAAAGCUACUAUGUCCAUUAGUUUUUACUUUUAUAGAAAGGCUUUCAUGAAUAAGAUUUUCUAAAGACAAUGGACUAUCUACAAUUUUUACGUCAACAUGUUUAGUUUUCUUCACUAAAGUUAUGGUAUAUCUUUUAGUAAACUAUUCAUCUAAGAAAGAUAUUGAGAUUCUAAAAUCUAACAAGAUAGAGGCUCUGUGAUAUUUAGAUUCUAAAAUAACAUUUAUCAUAAAACAAGGAGAAGGUUCUAAAGAGAGAAUAGGACCUUCACUAGGUGUUGUAUGGAGUUCCAACUGCACAAUCUCUAUUGUAGCUAGAUAAACUUCUUUGUUAAUAUUCUAUCUUUUUUUUAUGGCUGUAUGCCUUAUUUUUUAAUUGAGUUGCUUCUUUGAAUAAUAUUGAAUAGUAUACUUAGAUUCUCUUCAAUACAAGUACAAUCCUUUUAGAUAAUGACAAAUCUUUUCUUGUUUAGUAAGAGGCUUGAAACAUACUAUAUCAAUUUGUAUAUCUUUUAUUUUUGAAUGUAUAUAUUGAGAAGACGUUGGCAUUAUCAUUAAAUUAUAAUAACAUUGAGAUAUACUUAUGCAAUUCUUAAAUUAAAAUUCAAAAAGUGACUUGUCAUAUCUCACAACAAAGCCAAUUGCUUGAUUCAAUGUUUGAAGAUCAGAUAAGUUGAGCAUGAAUUUUUUUACCUCAUAUUGUAAUCCAUAGAAAAAUUGGCUAACAAAUGUAGCAUCAUCUCAAUUGAUAUCAAUUGCAAGUUGUCAAAAAUAUGAAGCAUAUAACAUUAUUAAUUGAUUGUCUUAUUGCAAAAAUAUAGAUCUUAUUGAUUGUAACACAAAUUGCAUCAUGUUUUCUAUACAUGGAUCAAAACUUUGCCAUAAAAGCCUCCAAAUUAUCCAAUAUUAAAUCUUAUUGUUUAAGAAAAGAUGAAAAAUCAUAAUAAUAUUGAACUUAAAAGAAAUUUCCUAAUAAAUAUAACUUGAAAUCCUAAAAUUAGAUAGCUUUGGAAUUGAAGUUUAAUGACAAGUUGUACUUCAUUGAUAAAUCUUGGAAACUUAGAUCUUGUGCCAUCAAACUUUUCGGGUAGUGCAACUUGUAAAUCAUCACAUUGAUUCAUUAAUUAUUUUAGGAUAAAAAGACAUAUUUAAAGUACUUAUAAGCACAAUAUAUGGUGAAUAGUAAAAAAAAAUUUAAACAAAUAAAAAAUUAAAAUAUUAGUUGUAGAAAUAGAAUCUUAAUAAGUCUUGGAGACAAUUAUCUUAGUUGGUUUAGUAUUUUUUGGUUAUUAUUGAAUAUUAAGGAUUAUUUAUUAAGGUCAAUAUUUAUAUUGGCCCUCUAUCUAAAUAUAUUACUUAUAAAAAACUAUGAAUAUUAGUUAGUAGCUAGAAGAAGCAUAAAAAAGAAUCUCGUGACUUUUUAGUUAUUUAUAUAGAAAGUAAGAUUUAUAGUAGAUUUAAAUUAAUUUUAUUAUUAUAAAAAUUAUCAAGGUAGAAAAAUACAG
RNAcentral lists this long non-coding RNA (87323 nucleotides) under Physcomitrium patens. RNAcentral describes it as "long non-coding RNA (PPAT_LNC006401)". The record is from RNAcentral. Lineage: Eukaryota; Viridiplantae; Streptophyta; Bryopsida; Funariales; Funariaceae.